GAUAUUUAAGUAUAAUAUAAUUUUAUUUUUAUUUCAUCAAAAACUCUGCCUUCAAAUAGGAUGGCAAAAUAUAAUUUUGUUUUUAAACCACAACAUAUAUGAUAUUCUGUUUGACUUUAUGUCCUUAAUGUAAAACAAGAAUAAAAUUAUAAAAUAAUUUAGAGUAAUUUUUUAAACCAUAAAAAUAUAAGGUGUCAAAGUAAAAACACGUUAAACCACAAAAAUACAAUGGUGUCAAAGUGAGACCGCGGUGAGGUAAAUUUAAGUUUCCCCAAAAAAUUAAAAUUGAGGAGGCUAUUAAAUUUAAAAUGGUCUAUGGUUGAGGGGUUUUAUGUACAUAAAUUGUUAACUUAUUUUCAUAUUAUAUUGUGAGAGAGGACAUAAAAUGUCAAUUUUUAAUUCCUAUAGUAGGAUUGAUUCUGUGGGUCCAAAGAACUAUGCUUGUAAGGAUUAAUGAAAUGCAUAGUUAUAGGAAAGCUUCAUGAGCAUGGACAAAUUCCAAUUAACUUGUUCUUUUUGUCCAUUUAAUUGUAUUUUAAUGCAAUGAAUUAGCUUGAGUGCAAGUUUAAGAAAGAUUCAGUGUUAGUUAGUAUAAUAAUAUGUUUGCGUCCCGGGAUUGGUUUUGCCUCUUAAUUAUUUCCCCUCUUUUACUUCAAAUAAAAAACUAUUUAUUUUUUUUUUGAGGAAAGGUAGCAAGCUACCAGCUUCAUUCAUUGAAUGUACGAACUAGACUACAGAGGUGAGGCAACUCGGGCCUCUAAGAACGAAACAACAAUCAUAAUAAUAAUAAAAAAAAAAGAAAAAAAAGAAAAAAAACACACACACACACACACACACAUACACACACUAAAGAACCGGUCGUAAGAGGGGUUUUCAGGACUUCAGAAGCUCUUUAGUCCGUUGUACAAUCAAAACAGGAUCGAAAUGGACGUUUCGAAAGAUCAAAUCAUUCCUGACCUUCCAAAUAGUCCACUAGCGAGCGACCAAUUCAGAUAAGCUAUUUUGCUUACUAUGCAUUCCUUUCUUGGCCAACCACCUCUUUUUAAUUUUUAUUUUUUACUUGAGUUUUUCGUCCAAAGUUGAGUAUAGUUUUUCAAUAAUUACUUAUUAGCCAUUCGUCGGUAAUUAUUCUAAUCUUUAUUUUGUAAAAAAACAAUAAAAAUUAUCAAAUGUUAUAAAAUCACUCAUAAAUUUAAUAAUAAAUCUAAUUUAAUUGUUAACAGUUACGCAAUAAUUAAAUUUGAGGGGGUUAUUUCAGAACACGAUAUAGGUGAGGGGCCCUACAUACAUUCUCACCAAGAUCAAACUAUGUUUAAGAAAUCUUAACCCUUAUUAAGUUUGAUUAAUAAAGCAAUAAUAAAUUACCGACCGUCCUAACGCAAGUGACAAAAAGGCUUGAUGAUUGGUACCCGAGACCCAAGUUCGAAUUCUAGUUGAUACGCAUUUUUAGUUAAGUUUAUUUCUAAAUGAAAUAAACGAAACGAAUAGCAUGCUACCUUUCUCUCAAAAAAAAAAAGAAAAGAAAAGAAAAGAAAGCAAUAAUAAAUUAAUCAUUAAUAAAGCACUAGUUAUUUGUGGAUGGCCAUGCAUGUGGACCAAAUGUGUAGGCAAAAGAUAGACAAUACAUUGUGUCAUGGGAUUUGUAGGAGAGCAUUUAAUUAAUGAGAUAUUACCACAAAUGCUAAGAUUUAAAAUUAGUGGCUUGAUGAUGCAGAAUCAUAUGCAUAUAAGCUGUAGCUUGUUGCCCACGCAGUUGCAAAUAAAAAAUACAAAGAAGUUUACAAAGAUUUUCUUAACUUCAAGCUCUUUGUAAACAGAUCAUUGAACUUUUGAUUUUGAUAAUUAGAGUUCUUAAUCUUUUUUAUAGUUUAAUAAAAGAAAAUUUCUCGUUUUAGUUGUUUGUCUUGAUAUAUAUAUAUAUAUAUAUAUAUAUAUAUAUAUAUAUAUAAUGAUGAAGAUAUAUAUAUAUAUUAGAGUGAGAGCUACUGAUGGCUAUCGCGAAGGACGGAGCCUUCGGUGCUUUCCAGCUCGUUUCGAUGUUGCGACUGAUUCGAAUCGUCGAUCGGCUCCGUUAAACUUGAUCUAGGAGUAUUUGAGUAACUGAAAAAAAAUUUUUUGAUUUUACGAAUCAGUUUGCCUAGUAACGAAGGGGCUCAAGUUCAACCGGUGAAAAGAAAAAAUUUAACAAAGAUAUAAUAAAUAUGACAUUAAAAUUUUAAACAAAAAUAUUGAUCUUGGUUUUAUAUAUUAUAAAGAAUUUUAUCAAAAUUUCACGUGAUUUAGAACAAUUGUAUACGCCGUUAAACUUGGCAAACGCUCACUACGGCCAUUGAAAUUUGUUGAUUUUUUGAGCUCAUUCGAUCACUAGGCAAAUGAUAUCGAAAAAAUAAUAAAUUAUUUUCUAGGUACUCCAAAUACUGUAAAUCAAGUUUAAACGAAGCCGAUCGACGAUUCGAAGUCGGCAAAUCGAAAACGAGCUGGAAGUACGGAAGGCUCCGUGCUUGCCGAUGGCAAGUGCCCGACUCUAUAUAUAUUAUAUAUAUAUAUAAUAUAUAAUAUAUAUAUUAUAGUAUAUAUAUAUAUAUAGUGUGUCUGGUAUGCUUAUAGAAGCAGGAACCCUCGUGCUUCCAUUUAUGUUCGAUGUUUGGACUUUCAGAAUCGAGGGCGACGAUCGGCUCCGUUAGACUUAAUCUAGAGUAUUUGAAGUAUCUAGAAAAUAAAUUUUGCGAUUUUUCAAUAUCAUUUGUUUAGUGAUCGAAGUGACUCAAAAUCAACGGCUAAAAAUAAAAAUCUUACAAAAUAUGAUGAUAUGAUAUUAAAAUUUUAAAUCAAAGUUAUUGAUCUUGUUUUAUAUGGUAUAAAGAAUUUUCUAUCAAAAUUUCAUGCGAUUUGAAUAUUUCUACACCGUUAAACUUGCAACCGGCUCACCACGGCCAUUAAAAUUAUUAAUUUUGAGCCCCUUCGAUCACUAGGCAAAUGAUAUCGAAAAGUCACAAAAUUUAUUUUCUAGGUACUUCAAAUACUGUAGAUCAACUCUAACGGAGCCGAUCGUCGAUUCGAAAGUCCGAACAUCGAAAACAAAGUGGAAGCACGGAGCCUUCCGUACUUCUAGGUCGUUUUCAAUGUUGUGACUUUCGAAUCGUCGAUCGGCUCCGUUAAACUUGAUCUAGAAUUUGAAGUACCUAGAAAAUAAAUUAUGCGAUUUUUCAAUAUUAUUUGCUUAGUGAACAAAGGGACUCAAAAUCAACGGCUGAAAAUAAAAAUCUUACAAAAUGUGAUAAUAGGACAUUGAAAUUUUAGAUCAAAGAUAUUGAUCUUGUUUUAUAUACUAUAAAAAAUUUUCUAUCAAAAUUUCACAUGAUUUGGAUAUUUCUACACUGUUUUUUUUUGUUUUUUGAACGAUAGGCAGCACGCUACCCGCUUCGUUUAUUUCAUUUAGAAAUAAGCUCAGCAAGAAAUGUGAAUCAACUAGGAUUCGAACUUGGGCCUCAGGUACCAAACACCAAGCCCUUUGCCACUUGCUCUAGGGACGAUCGGUGAUAUUUCUAUACUGUUAAACUUGCAAACGGCUCACUACGGCCAUUAAAAUUAUUGAUUUUGAGCCCCUUCGAUCAUAGGCAAAUGAUAUCGAAAAAUUAUAAAAUUUAUUUUCUAGGUACUUCAAAUACUCUAGAUCAAGUUUAACGGAGCCGAUCGACGAUUCGAAAGUCGCAACAUCGAAAAUGACUUGAAAGCACGGAAGGCUCAGUACUUCCAAAAACAUAGUAGCCUCACUCAUAUAUAUAUAUAUAUAUAUAGGCUGGAAUACUAUUAAUAGUAAAACGCUCUCUUUGCUAUCAAGUUUUUAACCCUUGGAUGAAAAAUUAUAGGGUCAGAAUGAUAUUAGUCGGUUAGAGUUGAGUGGUUCCCUCUAGGGUUGAGUAGUCCCCACUGGGUUAUAGUAUUUAAUCCAAUGGUUAGAAAUAAUGAAAAGAGUUGAUCCAAAGGCUAAAAAACUGGUAGUAACAAUGAAAUUUUGCUACUAAUAGUAGCCCAGUCCAACUAUAUAUAUAUAUAUAUAUAUAUAUAUAUAUCAUUAACAAACAGACUUCACUGCCACUCAUUUAUUUUUUAUGAUAGAACCUUCAAAUCGAUGAUGGGUACCGUUGAACAUGAUUUAUAUCAUUUGAAAUAUUUAAAAACUAAAUUUUGAUAUUUUUGAUAUCAUUGACCUAAUGAUCAAAGAGUUUUAAAAUUUAUAAUUUUAAUAGUCAAUAUGAGGGUUUUUUUUUUUUGUUUAACGGUAUAAAGAUAUCCAAAUUAAUUGAAAUUUGAUUAAAUUUUUUUAAAAACUAUUAAAAUAAGAUCUAUACUCUUGAUCUUGAUUAUAAAAUUUCUAUCUAUCACUUUUUAAAGAAUAUUUAUUUUUAGCCAUUCGAAAAAGUAUGAAAUUUGAUUUCUAAAUCCUUCCGUUGAUAUAGAUCAUGUUCAACAGUCUCGAUCGUUGAUUUGAAGACUUCAUCAUCGAAAACAAAUAAGUGGCAACGGAGCCCGCUUGUUGCCGAUAGCAUUCCAGCCCAACUCUAUUGUUUCUUUAUAUUCUAAGGUUUUAUAUAAUUAUGUGUAAGAAAUGCGGUCAAACCGACUAUUUAGCCUAUAACUUUGAUUGAUCAGAGCGACUUAUUAAGCUAUUUUAUAAAGUUUAUAAAAUGAGAUCGCGAAAAUCAAAUUUUCGAAUAAUACAUUUUUCCCCAAAGAAAAGGCUUGUAUAUAGAAAAAAAAUUAAUAAAUACUUUUAUGGCUGAUUUUAUCAUUCAGAGGACCGAAAUAACAUAUCUUACCAAGAAUCAAACAAUUACGAUUACAAAUAUUUAAAUUAGUUUUUAUAAAUAUUAAUUUUGUUCAUAUAAUUAUUCUUAAUCUAUGCUAAUUGGCAAGUUAGAUAAAUAACAGGGUAAAAUACACCUGAAUUAUAUUUUCAUUUUUUUGAAUAAAUAGCUAUUUAAUUCUAUUAUAAGCAGGUUCACUUAUUUUACUUUAUUUCAAAGAGAAUUGACAUUUAUUUUACAUUAAAAUUUUAAUAUAUUUUAUAAUUAUGAAUUAAAUUAUAAUAUAUAUAUAUAUAUGAAAAGUUAAAAGAAAACCUUAUUACAAUAGCAUAAAAUAGUGGUGCUAAAACAAAAACUUACUGCAGGAAUCUUUAUUGGUGGAGGCAAAUCUCACCUAAAAAUUUUGCACUCUUGGAUAGAGCCGAAACUACCAUGUAGCUGCGAAUCAAGGACUUUUCAGUGAGACGUCGUUGAAAAGCUCUCCACUAAAGUUUUAUCUAUUUUAUGACAACGAGCUAAAAUAACUUGUUUAUAUAUUGAGCAAUAUUAUUUGUGCGUCUAUAAUUUAGAUAUAAACUUUAUAUUUUGUUUCAUCAAAGGUUUAGAUUUAUUUAUUUGCAUUAUCAAUAUUUUUUUAAUACUCAAAAUUUUGUUUCAAGUUGUUGUAUUUUGCCUCUUUUGUCAGGUUUGCGUUACUAUUCCAUCAAUUUCUUAUAAUUUAUACCGAAAAUACCUUCAAAAUGACAUAAAUAUAUUAAAAAAUUAUUUUUUUCUUAUUUAGGAAGUAAAGGUACGUAAUUUGGUUAUUAAUUUGUCUUUCCAUUAACGUCGUACCCUCCUAAAAAUAUUUAUGAAAUUUUAAGGAAACAAAAUGUAGAUUUUUAAAAGUCAAGUAGGAAAAGCAAAAAGGUAUUUAUAUAAAAAGAAAAUUGUAUAAUUUAGCUAUAUUUUUUUAAAUUUUUAAACGAUGGAGUUUAUUUAUUUACAUAAAUAGAGUGUAUAAGUAGCAUUUUUAUUGUAUGUACAGAGUCUUCUAGUCUAUUCUAUCAUAAAUCAAUAACUUCCUAAAUUUUUUUCCAAGUCAAAAAUAAAUACCAGAAGAAUGUUUACUGCCACCCAUUUUAAUGCAUCCAAUACAAAACUUUCCUCUAGAAACUACAAGUUCAAAAUGCGUUCAAUUAUUCAUCUAGACGAUUUGAAUUGAAAGCCCACAUGAAUCUUAUCAACUACACUUGACUUGGACUAAAGACCUAAAUGAAAGAUAUCUUAGGUGCAUAAUUCGAGAAACAAACUGUCCAAUCAUCGGCUCUAAUUAAUCAUUAAUUUCAAAAUUUUGAGCUCUUAAAAAAAUACAACCAGUUCAUUUCAUUUAAAGUGUACAGAUACAGCGUUCGUAGGUCUUGACUGUGAUUCGGCCUAACUAGUCUCCCGACAUCCCACCGCCAUUUCAAACAUGACCAGAUCCAACGUGACCUCCCGCUAUAUGACAGAAUACUGGUCCCUUUGAGCUAACAAAAACUGUGUUGGGUUCAUAUUUCAAAUUUAAAUUUUAAAUUUGAAUAACUGCUUAGAGCAAUAAGUUGGUAUUUAUUUUGUGGGGAUAUGAGAUUUAGCUUGGAAUAUACUCGUGCAAGAAUAGACAAAUGUGCAGUGACCUAUGAGAUGAAAUUGUUGGGGUGAUCUAAACAAAAGGAAUUACUUGGAUUUAUUUAACAUUAAUUUGCUAUGUCAUUGCCAAGGUUUCAAUCAUAACUACGUCAACAAAGAGAGAAAAUAAAAAGUGAUAAAGUGUACGUUUUGUCAUCAAACUAUGAGACAUGCCAUACUUUUUUUUAGGCCUUUAAAUUUUAAUUUAGUAUAAUUUUUAAUUAGAACUUUUAAAAUAUUAUAAUUAAAUAAAUCUCAUAAUUUAAUUUAAUUGACUAAAUAUUAACAAAUCGCUUAUAUAAAAGUAAGGUGAUAUCUUAAUUAUUGACGCACUAUCAAUUAUAAUAUUAUUACAAUAUACUUCUACAUUAGUAAUAUAUUAAUAUUUUAUCAACUAAUUAUAAUAAUUUUGAAAAUUAAUUCGUCUUAUAAUUUGAGAAUCAAACCUGCAAUUUAGUCAAAUAUAUAUAUAUAUAUAUAUAUAUAUAUAUAUAUAUAUAUAUAUAUAUAUAUAUAUAUAUAUAUAUAUAUAUAAAACUAACAUAAGAUAAUCACAUCUAGGGAAAAUAUGGUGAGAUAGUGACAGUGAGAUCAGAGGCCGCAAAAUUAGUAAAACUUUGAAGCCUAACAUUUUUGACUAGAAUUAAUUGUGGGCUUUUAUUUUCAUGAAUUUCACAUUGUGCAUGAGUCUCUCUCUUUCAUGUCCUAUAAUUUUUAAUACAUAACAGGAUUACUGUGCUAUUAAGAGCACAACAGUUUUUAUGCUCGUAACUUUCUAACCACCUAUUCAGGAUUACUGUACUAUUAGGAGUACAGCAGUGCUUGUGCUCCUAACUUUCUAACCACCAAUCCAAUUUGAUGAGUUGUUAGGAUGAGAGAGAGCGAAGAGAAAUUGGGAAGAAAUUUGUGUCUCAAUUUCUUUUUUCUUUGAAUUUCUCUUAAACUUUUUUUCUAUUUUUCAUCUUAACUAUUCAUAAAACUUGAUAAAUGAUUAGAAAGUUAGGAGCAAAAUUGAUGAAUAGUUAUAAAGUUAGGAGUACAAAAGCUAGUGUGCUCCUAAUAACACAUUAGCCCUACUCAUUAUAUAUAUAUAUAUAUAUAUAUAUAGAGUAGGGCUGCUGUGCUCUCAGGAGCACGGAGGCCCCUGAGUCGUUUUCGAUAAUGGAGUUUUCGAAUCGACGAUCGGCUCCGUUAAACUUGAUCUAGUGUAUUUAAAGUUUCUAGAAAAUAAUUUUUGUGAUUUUUCGAUAUCAUUUACCUAGUGAUCGAAAGGAUUCAAAAUCAAUAAUUUUUAACGGCUGAAAAUAAAAAUCCUAUAAAAAGUGGCGAUAUAGCAUUAAAAUUUUCGAUCAGAAAUAUAGAUCUUGUUGUAGAUGGUAUAAAGAAUUUUCUAUCAAAAUUUCAUCUGAUUUGAAUACUUCUACAGCACGUAAAACUUGAAAACGGCAGAUAUCAACCAUUAAAAAAUUAUGGAUUUUGAAUCCUUUCGAUCACUAGGUAAAUGAUACCGAAAAAUCGCAAAAUUAUUUUCUAGAAACUUCAAAUGCGCUAGAUCAAGUCUAACGGAGCCGAUCGUCGAUUCGAAAAUUCCAUUCAUCGAAAACGGCUCAGGGCACGGAGGCCUCCGUGCUCCUGAGCGCACAGCAGCCUGCUCUAUAUAUAUAUAUAUAUAGAGAGAGAGAGAGAGAGAGAGAGAGAGAGAGAGAGAGAGAGAGUGAGGCUACUAUGCUUCUGGAAGCACGGAGCCUUCCGUGCUUCCAGGUCAUUUUUGAUGUUGCGACUUUCGAAUCGUCGAUCGGCUCCGUUAAACUUGAUCUAGAGUAUUUGAAGUAUCCAGAAAAUAAAUUUUGCAAUUUUUUGAUAUCAUUUGCCUAAUGAACUUACGGGGCUCAAAAUCAACGGCUGAAAAUAAAAAUUUUACAAAACGUGAUAAUAUGACAUUAAAAUUUUAAAUCAAAGAUAUUGAUCUUGUUUUAUAUAGUAUAAAGAAUUUUCUAUAUUUCACGUGAUUUGAAUAUUUGUACACCGUUAAACUUGCAAACGGCUCACCACGACCAUUAAAAUUAUUGAUUUUGAGUCCCUUCGAUCACUAGGCAAAUAAUAUCGAAAAAUUACAAAAUUUAUUUUCUAGGUACUUCAAAUACUCUAGAUCAAGUUUAACUGAGCCGAUCGAUGAUUCGAAAGUUGCAACAUCGAAAACGGCCUGGAAGCACGGAAGGCUCCGUGCUUCCAGAAGCAUAGUAGCCUCACUCUAUAUAUAUAUAUAGCAGGACUGUCGUGCUCUCACUCCUGAUCCGUUUUCGAUAAUGGAAUUUUCGAAUCGAUGAUCAGCUCCAUUAGACUUGAUCUAGCGUAUUUGAAGUUUCUAGAAAAUAAUUUUUAUGAUUUUUCGAUAUCAUUUACCUAGUAAUCGAAAAGAUUCAAAAACAAUAAUUUUAACGGCUGAAAAUAAAACUCCUAUAAAAAGUGGUGAUACAGCACUAAAAUUUUUUAUCAGAAAUAUUGAUCUUGUUGUAGAUAGUAUAAAAAAUUUUGUAUCAAAAUUUCAUCUGAUUUGAAUACUUCUACACCGUUAAACUUGAAAACGGCAAAUAUCAACCAUUAAAAAUUAUUGAUUCUGAAUCCUUUUAAUCAAUAGGUAAAUGAUAUCGAAAAAUCGCAAAAAUUAUUUUCUAGAAACUUCAAAUACCCUAGAUCAAGUCUAACGGAGUCGAUCGUCGAUUCGAAAAUUCCAUUAUCGAAAACGGCUCAGGAGCACGGAGGCCUCCGUGCUCCUGAGAGCACAGCAGCCCUGCUCUCUCUCUCUNAUGGACAUUGUGUCCAUGAAAUUUACUUUAGGGAUACCCUAGAUGGGUGCCAUGUGUUUCGAGCCACUUCCGGAUGGGUGCCGUGUGGCACCCAACUCAUGCGGGGCCCAUCGCUCCUUUUGCUCUCCCAGCAAGGGAAGCAGCAGGAUUUUUUUUGGUGCACCCGGUGCACCAUUUUUUAUUUUAAAAUUUUUAUUUUUAUUUUUUAAAUUAUAAUUUAAUAUAACAAAUAUAUAUAUAUAGAAAACAUAUGUAAAAGAAUUUAGAAUUCAGCGUUCAAAAUUCUUUUACACAUAUUUUUUUAAAUAUCAUAGUAUAUAUCUCUAUUACAUUAAAUUAUAAUUAAAAAUAAAAAAUAAAAAAUAAAAUUUUAGAAUAAAAAUGAUGCACCGGGUGCACCAAAAAAGUCUCACAUACUCUCCCAAAUGGAAGAGCAGCAGGGCGAUGGCUCGGAUGCCACGUGGCGCCGCGCCAGGGCGUCCUUAAAUUAGCCUUUAUGGACACCAUGUCCAUAAAAUUUUUGUCCGUAACCAUGGACCCACUGAAGCAAUUAAAAUGGUCCUCAGAAGCUUGCCGUGUAAUGGAUCAGUUUCGCAAUCGAUCGAUCCGUCAAAAUCGCUAGGGCCAUCAAUCUCCAUCAUCGAUGUGAUCGGAGGGUCAGGAUCAUCAAGUGGAACGAAUAAUUGGAUUUAUCGGGUCAAAAUUUUGUUGUAUGCAGAAAGAAAAGUAAAAAAAAAAAAAAAUUGUAUUACAAUGCAUUCUGUAAAACGAUGGGUAUAUCUGUUUGGGUGGAAGUGGGGUGAAAGUGGAGAGGUUGGAAGUCAUUUUCGUCAUAAAUGAUCACUUUCGUUAUUUGGUUUGCUGUAAAAAAUGUACGGUCGAAACUCGAGUUAACCACAAACGGCGUAAUUAAUUUUGACCUAUCGUGGGUCAAAAUUAAUUACGGUAAAAAAAAUAAUAAAAUAAUAUAUUAGGUAAAAAUAGUUAUAUUUAAAUAUAUUUAAUUAUGGUAUUAAUUACUCUUUUAUUUAGUUGGUAUAUUUAAAAUAUGAUAAAAAUUGAUUAGUUAAAUUUUAAUAUUUUUGUUUAUUUAGUUUGUACAAUUAAAAUAUAAUAAAAAUUGAUUAAUUAAGUAUUAAUAUUUUUUUUUACUUUAUAAUUUUAUUGUUGUAUUACUAUAAUUUAUGUAUAAAAAAUAAUUUAGUUAUUUUAAAUUAAAUUCGGUAAAACAAACAUGAAGUAUAUAUGAGCGUUGGUCGAUACUAAUUUUUUUGAAUUCAAAACCAAAUUUUUUUACUUUUAGGUAACUCACACCCUUUAAUUAAAAUAAAAUUUUAAUUAAAAUAAAUUAAAAUCUAACUCAUGAUCAGUUCGAUCUAAAAAACUAUUUUCUGCCGAUAUCCCAAAUCGAGUUUUUCCAACUUUUAAUUAAAAUAAGAUUUUAAAAUAAUAAAACUAAUAUUAAAGCAAUCAUCUUUUAAACUACUUUUAUAUAUAUUAGGAAUAAUUAACUUUCAAAAUGUAAAUAAUAUUCUCGAAAAAUAAAUUGUAGUUUAUUAUCUAAAUAUUUAUACGAAACAGAUUCCGGGUGGGGCUUCGCGAGCUGGAUUAGGAGCGGAUCAAAUUUUUCAUCAUAUACCUGCUCUGAAUUCGUCUCGAAUUAUAGAAAUAGUCUCGUUUACUGUCCUAAAUUCAUUUAUUAUAUAUUAUCUCUAAUUUACUAUUUCAUUCGGAGCGAAAUCUCUACCACCGUGAGUCCAUUUGAAUUUCUGGAAGAAAAUAAUAAUCAUGUGUGAUUCUUAUUUAUAAGUGGAUGUUUGAAUCAACUGUUCUAUAGCGAUAAGAGGCCUAUAAUUUUUGGUAGGGCCAGUUAGAAUGUUCUUGAUGGGAUUGAUAAAUAUCUUUUGAUCAAUUAAUUCGUCAAAUAAAUUGAAAAAUAUGUAAUUUUCCAUCACAUUUAGGUGGAAUUUUUUAGAUAUGUCAUAUUCUUAUACCCGUUUGGAUUCGGAUAUUGCCGCUAACUCUCUAACAUUGCUGUUAUAGUUACCGUCUAAAUUGGACUCAAGCAAAAUCGUAUAACAUCAAUAGACAUUUAGAUGUUAUAUAAGCCACGCGUAAUGAGAAUCUUUAUGGGGGAUGAUAUCAUUACGAAAAGAUGAUUAAUUUUGAUAUUAACAGAUAAAUUUAUUAAGUUUAGAAUAAUUACUGACUAAAUUUGAUUAUUCAUUUGCUUUGGUAAAAAUAGAUUUAGUGGUAUCACUUAACAAUAUCACUAAUUAUACUACAUGAAAAAUUAAAGAGCAAAACGAAAAUAAUUAGUACGUGUUAUGUCCCAAAUAACUUGGGAACUGCUUAGGAGAGAUUUUGACUUAAUCGUGAGUCUAACUACAGUGGCCUACUUAGAUAACUUUGCGUCUACAAGCAAGUGUUAAUUAACUAAAAUGGAUUAUUUUUUCCUACAGUACUUGUUAAUUUUAUACGUAACGUCGAUGGCUUUAUAGUAAAAUUUGCCAGUUAUAUUGGUAUUAUACUCUAGUUUAUUAAAAAAUUUGUUGCAAAUGUCGUUAGAGGAUUAUUUAAUAACUAGUUUAGUAUAUAUCUUAAAACUAAACAAGAUUAGAUGUAGCUUAUCUCACCACCUAAUGUGUUAAUUGAAAACAAUUAACAGUAUUAACCGUUCAAGCUUGUAACUAAGCAUGGAGUGACCAAAUAUUUUUUAAUUAAGAGCUUAAUUAAAUAUUAUAUUAUGCUAUCAUAAUCAUCUAGCUAAGAUAACAAUGAUGCCAAUAAAAAAAAAUUCAGAAUCAUUUAUUUUUGUCAAAAUUAAUCUGAUGAUCAUUUAUAUGGCUCUAGUCCAAGAUACAUCACACUUAAUUUGCUUUUGUGGAUAUGCUUCAAAUCAUGUAUAAAAAUUCUCUUUUGUUUGUUAAUCUCUUUAUUAAUUUGUAUCAUUCCUUAGCUGGUACGACAAGGUGGGUCCAGAAUACCUCGCAUUCAAAAUUUGAAAAUCAACCAAAACACACGAAAGGAGAGAGAAUGGAUGUAUCUUGUCGUUGAUCGUUACGUUUGCAUGAGUGGCCACAAUACAGGUCAUAUUUGGAUAUCGGAAUAAGUUAAUCUAAUGAUAAUAACUUACAUGGUAUGAAAUUUUUUUAAAAUAUAAUUGUAAAUAAAAAAAUUCAAUUUUUGUUUUUUUAAAAAACUUUGCUAUUUAUGAUUUAAUAUGAUAAUAUAUUUUUUGUUUUAUACUCAAAAAAGCAACUUGAAUUUCGGAUAUAAUAAUAUCUCACUCUUUUUUUGAGAGAGUGAAAGGUAGUAUGCUAGCUCGCUUCGUUUACUUUUUUUAGAAAUAAACUUAAAUGAAAAUGUGAAACAAUUAGGUUUCGAACUUGUGUUCUCGGAUUCCAACGAUCAAACCUUUUGCCACUUGCAUUAGGGACGGCCGGUCACUCUAAAAAUUUGAUCCCACUAUUUUUGAAUUAACAAUAUAAAUUUUUUUGAGUAAACUAAGUGUGUAUAUAUAUAGAGAGAGAGAGAGAGUCUUGCUAUGGUACUUGUAAAGGCGUCAAGCACUUAAUGCUUGCAAAUUUUUUACUGUUAGAUCUACUUUUUUGAUCAUUUUCAUUCGUUAUUAUUUUCAUCCGUUAAAUUAUACUAUUCAAUUAACCACUCAAAUAUAUAAAGCACUGUCUUGCAAAAUGUGAACCUCGAUCUAAUUGAUCCGCAGCCAUAUAUAUAUAUAUACAUCCGUCGCCAAAGAUGUACUAAGCACAUAUGGAUGCCACAUAGUCACAUAUAUAUAUAUAUAUAUAUAGUUGCAAAAUGUACUAAAAUGACAAAACAAAAUAUGAGUGCAACUGUGCAAACCACAACUAAAAAGAAGAAAAGCCCCACCUACCAAACCAUCCAACAAUUACACCACAACAUCAGAAGCACAUCCUUCUCAGUGUACUAUACUAUUAUACACAUCCAAAUUCAAACCGUAAAAAGGGUUUUCCCAUUAAAGGGUUUUCCCACCACAACAUCUAAACACUUCACUAAUUAAUUACACAUUUCCACCUAAUCCACAACUAAUUAAAGACAACCCCAUAGAAGAAAGAUUCAAUUAAAAAAAAAAAAAAAGAAACAUUGGUAAAAUUGCAUAGAGAUCCACCUCAACUAUAGACCAUUCUGAAAAUAUUCUGUUUAUUUUUGUUAACAACACCUUGCUUAAAAUUUUUAAUCAAUUAAAUUAGGAAUUUUUUAUUUUAUUAAAAUAAAAAUUCUAAUUUAACCGACGGAAAAUUAAAACGAUAUAUAGUCGAGAAAAAUAAAUCUCCAACACAAUUUUACCUCUCGAGCUCUAUGGGCUUCAUGCCGUCGCGCAUGCGCGCGAAGCUCUGCGACUCCGCGAGCUUCUGCGCCUCCAAAUCGUCGUCGUCCUCGUCCGCGGCCUUAACGAGGGGGACGUAGUCGGGCUCUUCCGGGUACAAUUUGGUUAUAAACAGGAAGGCGGCGACGGCGAACACGGCGGUGGCCGACACGUACCAGCUGAACUGCAGGUUGACGAGCGACUUGGCGCGGCCGAGCGCGUCGGGGUCGCGGCAGCGCACCACGUGGUGCCCUUCCUCGUAGUUCAAGAAGCAGCCCUUGGGGAUCAGGCUCGGCGUCCACAGCAUCACGCCCAUGGCCACGAACCACACCCCCUGGAGGACGAGGCUCACGGAGCGCACGAAGGCGACCGCGAAGCUCGCCGGGUGCGCGAUGCCGAGGAGCGUGGUGGCGAGGGAGACGGCGACGACGCACUGCAGGAGCCAGUGGUACUGCCCCUCCACGCCCAUGUGGUCGGCCGAGUGCAGGUGGAAGAUGAGCAGCUCCUGCGCCAGCGCCGCCGCCGCGAGGAGCAGCGUCAGCGCGUCGCGCGCGAGCGACCGAGCCGCGCCGUGCGUCGUCGUCGUCGUCGACGAGCGGCGGCGGUUGCGGUCGCGGUCGAGGUGGAUGGCGAAGGCGGCGUAGAGGAGGAGGGAGAGGGAGAUGGACGCGUGCUCGAAGUUGUGGAGGUGGUUGGAGGGGAUGGAGCCGUCGGAGUCGAACGGCUGGUGGGCCUCCGGGCCGAUGAACAGCUCCAUCGCGAUCGAGGCGAGCGAGCCGGCGAUUAUCAGCGCCGGCUCCAGGUACCGAGCGAGCGGCGCGGGGAACCACGGCCGCGCACGGUACGACCCGGGGCGCACCGCGUAGAGCCUGAUGUGAUUGAAAAGAUGCCACAGACCGAUUACUAGAAAUCCGACACCGGGCGCAACGUGUCCCACCAACGUCCCCAUGGCUUUUGCUUUUGCUUUUGCUUCUGCUUUUACUUUUGAUUGAACAAGCAAGCGAAAAAUGAAUGAGAAGUCCGAAGACGAGAUCGGGGGGUUUAAUUAAUUUCUUGGAGUUGGGAGCAAGGAAAAGAUGGUGGCGGGGGAAGAGGGGGAUUGGGAUUGUGUGGGGUUUUAGCUUUUGCGUCGGGGGUGGUAGAGAUUAUAAUGUGGGAUUAGGGGGGAUCUCUAGAGAGUUCUAAUGCAGAGGGGGAGUUUGAAAACUUGGAGCCAUGAACGGUUGACUCUCCUGUGGUUUGUUUGUAAGAGCUGACGUAGGAUUGGAUUGGGCCCAUGCGGUUUCUAGAGAGGAUAAUUAAAUGACUAAAUUACCAUUCCCUCAUUUAUCAACUUGAUCAUAAUCAUAUUAUUUUCUAAUUAAUAUUGUAUAAACAAGAGAUAAUAGAAACUGUAAUAAUUCAUUCUGUUUUGAUAUAUAUGAAACAAGUAUUUAUUCUAAAACUCUAAAACUGUUGUUAGAAAAUCACUUUUUUUUUUUUUUAUAAAUACUGAGGAUAAAUUUCUCAUUAAACCUCCAUAUGCGAAUACUAUUUUAAGAUUAACUCAAUAGAAAUCUCCUUCAUCCAUAAGUCACAAGUUAAGGAGAAAAAUUAGAAUUUGACCUGCAAGUGAGGGGCAUUUUGGUAAAUACAUAUUCCUUUCUUCUAAACUUCGAGAGUUUCGUAGUUCCCACGCAUAGGGCGACGGCGUUUUGGUUUUUUAAUUGACUACGCAGCUUUGGCCAAGGACUUCCGAGUCUUCGUCUCUACGACGCCUCAAAACCAAGCCAAAAAAUUAAAAAAAUUUAAAAAAGUCACAAAAGGUUAAAAAAAACGGUGUGGCGGACACCACACCGGAAUUUCGGUGUGGAGGAGCGCGUGGGCCGCGUGAUGCGAAGGAGAAUCUAGUCUUUUCAUCUACAUGUCCAGCACUGCCGCUAUUAAUAUAUGGAAACUGUAAACCUCAGGUUGUGUAUUUCUAGAAGUAGAAGGGUCACUUAUUAGCAUAACAUUUUAGCUAAAUUACAGAAAAUCCUCUUAUAAUAAUCUAUUUUUUUAUUUUUUUUUCUGAUAUUUAAAAACCUACACUUUAUCCCUCUAUAAAAUAAAAAAUGUGCACUUUACCUCCUGCUGUUAGGGUUCCGUUAAAAAAUAUAUUUUUAUGCCGAAAAUUCCCCUCCGUCAUCUCCCUGUUGCUGCGCCUCCCUCUGGCUCGCCACCUCGCCGCCGCCUCGCUGUCCUCCACUGCCUCGCCCUCACCACAUCCCCUUCGCCGUCCUCCGCCGCCUCGCCUUCGCCUUCUUUGCCCUUCUUUUACUGCCGCCCACCUCGGUUUUCUCCUACUGUCGCCGAAAUCGAGGGCGGCGAGGGUGCAGGAGGAGAAGGGGAGCAGGUGGAGAAGGAAAUUGAGAAAAAUCACGACCGAUUGAGGUGAGAAUUGCGGCCGAACGAAGGGGCGGCUGAGGAAGAUGGGGAAGAAGACGACAAUGGCGAUGGGCAAAAUGGUCAUUUUAUACACCGUAACCCCCCUGUGAACAUUUUUCAUUUUACAGGGGGGCAAAGUGUAGGUUUUUAAAUGUCAGGAGAGAAAAGUGAAAAAGCGGGUUAUUACAGGGGGGUUUUCUGUAAUUUAGCCGUAACAUUUUUCAUGUGUCUGAAUUUGCGAUUCACAUUUUUUAAUAUAAUUAGAUCGAAUAAAUUUUUUAUAUAAUAUUUUUAAAAAAAUCAAAAUAAUUUUUUAUAUAUACGAUAUGAUAUGACUAAAUUUUUUAGUUCUGUUAUAAUAUUCUAGACAAUGGUUUAACUCAAGAGGUUAAAUGUAUUAAGACUAGAAUAACUUUAGAAUGGAUGACCUCUGAAAAGUAAGACGUUAUAAUUGGUAUUAGAGCUCCUCACAAGGUUAAUUAAGACUAGCGAGAUAAGUCUCACGCUGCCUGAUACUAAUGAGUAUGCUUGAACUUUACGAAAACGUCAGGGCUUAAAAGAGAAGUAAUCAAGGAAUUAAGUGCCGUCCGUGCCGUACAGCGUACGGCACAGGGGCGUGCCAUACCGUGGGAAGCAUGGUAUAGUGGGGGGUCUUGGAUCCCCCUCUGUCUUGCUCCACACAUAUGCGUGCUGCUUGAGACAAAGCGGCACACAGUGCGUGCUGCUCUUUUUUUUUUUUUUUUUUUUUUUUUUUUUUUUUUUUUUUUUUGGGUUUCUUUUGUUCUCUGAGGUAUCGAGCGCCCUCUAUAUUGUUUUUUUUUUUUUUCACUUUGUUGUCUUUUUUUCAACUUUCUUUUUUACUUUUUGGUUGAUACCUUUUUUUAACUUCUUAUUUAUCAAUAUAGAAGUAAAUUUUUAAUUGACAUAUUCGAUCAGCCCGAGCCCUCCGCUUCCACCACAGAUAUCUAUUUUUUCUUCAUAAAAUUUUUGUCAAAAUUUAUCGCACCGCGAAACUUUUGGUGAAUCGGAAGAACAAAAAUCGAUCUGGUAAACAAAUUUUGAUCAAAUAUUUUUAAAAAGAAUAAAAGAACAAAAAAUAUAGAUGUAAUAUCGAAAAUAUAUGAUAUUCUCACAAUACCAGCAAUACUUAUAUUAACAUUAUCAAAUAAAUUUUGUAUCUACAGGUGACAAUAUAUAUGUCAUAUGAUCAAGCGCGACGAUAUAUAUGGAAUUAAACAGUCAUCUCUAUAUAAAGAUAUAAAUUUAAAUAAUUAUUGCACUUGUGAAUUUUAUUAUUGUAUUUUAAUUUCUAUUGUACAUUAUGUAUAGUUGUAUUUAUAAAGAGUUUACAUGCAUAUUAAUUGAUGAGUAUAAUAAGAAAUAUAUAGUAAAUAUUUAUAAUUAUUUAUUUAAAAUUUUCAAACUAAUAUUAUAAGAGUUUAUUGAAAUAAAAAAAAUAAAAUAAGUCCGUGUCAAAGCGUGUUAGUAGGAGGUCAUGCGUAUCUAUCGGCACGCAAGUGUGCCACGUGUCGGUACGCAAGGUUGCCUGUACCGUACCGUGCCAAGAAUAUAACGACAUGACCCCGUACUACGGCACUUUAAACUUUGGGAGUAAUGUAACACUUCCAGAAAAAAUAGUUAUAUAUUAAAGAUGUAAUGGGACUAAACUUUUUAAUCCAAUUAUAAUAUUUUAAAUGGUGGCUAAGCUCAAAAAGUUAAGUAAAUUAAGCGUGUUAAGGUUAGAGAAGUUUUAGGAUGAGUGAUUCACAAUCUAUCGACGAAAACAAACUAAGAAUAGCCAAAGUUUAACUAAGCGUCCGUUAGAGAAACUAUUUAAUUUAGUUCUUUUAUAAACAAGUACUUAAAUUUUCAAUUUUAUCAAUUAGAUUAUUUAAAUUUUGCUAAUCCUUUUCAUUAAUCAAAGUUACUAAUUACGCAAUCUUCUUAGUCAUCUGUCUCGCAUACGAUCUUAUAAAGCUUCAAAAUAUAAAAUGAUUUAUUCUUUCCAUUCUAAUGUAUCAAAAAGAGAUUGCAGAUAGGUUAAACUUGUUUUCAAUUCUCAUACUUAAUUAUUAAACAUGAAAGAGAAAAAAAAAUAUAUCUUCUUAUAUUUUAAAAAUUUGCUAAGGACAAGUCUCAAUUAGUUUGUGGUUUACAUGAAAAAGCAUUUCUCAUUGAUGGUUUAUUAUCUUUUAUUUGUUUAAGAUUUAAACUUAAAUGCGAAGUUUGUAUUAGACAAAAAAAAAAAUUAAAUGGGUUAUAGCUAGUAUAUUCUAACGUUUUAUUUCUGUUUCGAGUGACUUUAGGUUAACUCAAAUGCCGCGAUUUGCAUGUGUUAUAUAUCUCAAAAGAUUCACAAUGUUUAUACAAGAUUUAAAAUAAUUUCAAUAAAAUUGCUUCUCGAAAGAUCGUCUAAAGACGAAUGUGAUCAGAGACGCACAAUUUAUAAAAAUAUUUAACUACUCAUUUGCAGUAUAGAUAUGGAAAUAUUUAGAUUGAUAAGUGAGAUAAGAGAUGGUAUAACAGCGAUAGUAAUAUAUAAGAUUUAUACCUAUAAAUAAUAUGACUAUUGUGACAAGUCAUAUUUCUUGUACACAAAUAUAUGACGUGACGAUUGAUUCAUCCAGCAUGCUAUUUUAAUAGAGGGUAUAAAAGUAACAGUAAAGACGCUACAUGUACACAUAUUUAUAGAUAAAAAUCUUAUUCUUCUUUCAUCUUAAAAAUUACAAAAAUAAUAAUUAGUAUAAAAAAAUUUGAUAAAACUAGUGAGAGGAUGUACGACGGAUGUAGGUCAUUUGAAUGAGUGGAAUACAAGUUUUACGCCUAGCAUGUAGGUAGGUAUACAUUACGAGUAAGGCCCCGUUUGGAUAUUUUAUGAAACAUAGUAUAGUUAAAUUAUACAAUAUGUAUAGAAAAUUUAUUCUGUUGAGUGUUUGGGAGCCUAAAAAAAGCACCGAUUUUUUAGAGUAUAGUUACACUAUAUUCUAAAAAAUAGAGUAAAAUGAUAAUCCACUCUAAGCCAAUGAAAAAAUUUUCAUCAUUCUUGAACUCCAUUCUCUUCUACUUCUCCUUACAUCAAAUUUUAAAUUUUAAUAUAAGAUAUUUGAUUUUAAAUUUUUAAAUUUUUAAUUUUUGAAAUUUGCCAGUAGGUCCUUAAAUUCCUAUCCAUUCUAAAAGAAUCCCGUAACCUCGCAUGCGCGGAGAGGCCAAACACUUUCAAUUUUUUUCACAUAUUCCAGAAAGAGACGCAGGGGUGUAAAAUUUAUAUCCUAUAUAAAAUGUAUAUGUAGUAGCAUUUUUUUUUUUUUUUUCCCUGGGAUUUUGACCCAGGAUUUUUGAGAGGCACCGUGCUAGAGGUGAUUUGGUAGGUGGAAUGUUCUUUUGAAACCAACUGCUUUCAAAUGUCUAUUUCGUCGACAUUCUUUUCUCUGCUUUUUUUUUUUUUUUUUUUUUUUUUAACUACAGUUAAAUUGUUCCAGUAAACAUUAGAUAAUAUAAUUAUCAUCGAUCUACUAAGAGUUCACAUACGAAUAAUUAAUAAGAGAGUAACGAUAAGUUAAUAUAUAUGAGUGAGUUCAAACCAAACCGAACAAACUCAAGUUUUUAGAUAAUAUAUAAUACAUAUUUUGCCCGAUAAGCCAUAUUUUUGGACAUAUAGAUCUGAAUUAAGUCAAAAUUUUCUAACAUUCAUCUAAACCAUUAAACUUUUAAUCGACUCAUUAUGAUUUUCUCCAUUAUACUUUUUUAUCGCACCUAAACACAAUUUACCUACCAUCUUAGUUUGUAUUAUUACAAAAAUAUAAUUAAUUUUCUUUCCUUACACUCCCAGUUGCCAAGGACCACCAAACAGUUACCAUUUUGCACAAAAAAACAAAAGCACCCACCUCUGAUUAAAUUCAACAUUAGGAGGCCAAAGAAUCCAUAUUCUAUGAAUAUGAUAUGUUAUUAAUUUAUUUAAUAAGGUUACAAAAUUUUCCUAUCAAAUACAUAGGCUUAUGAUGAGACACCUAAGCAGUGAGAUAAAAGGUUAGAGGGGACAAAUUGCAUACUCUUUCUUUCAACGGUCCUUUUGGGUGAGAAUGGCUCGAAAAGAAGCUCAGAAAAAAUUUUAGAUGCCCCUUGUGAUUUAGUAUUUUCUUGGUUUAGUAUUCUAAAGUGUAAAAUGUAUUAUUUUAGAACUCUAUAAUUUUAUUUUUCUUUAAUAUGGCUACUGUGAAAACAUGUAACAAAAAACUUCAGAUGCCCCUUAUAGUUUAUUAAUUUUUUAUUAUAGUAUCAUAUGAUAUUAACUUUAUCACUAAUUUAUGAAGAAAUUAACCACCGAACGGGUAAUAGAAAAAGAAAAAAAAAAUUAUAAAAUAUUAAAGUGAUUUACUUUUAAAUUAUAAAAUACUAAAGUAAAAUGAACGCAACAUCAGCGGGGUGUUUAAAGUUUCCCCAAAAAGGGCUUGGACAACUAGAUAAAGCUAAAAAGCAGUAAGUAGGUAGGUAGGUAAGUGGACAUGCACCAGCCAUUAUAUUAAUUAUUAUAAUUAUAAUGACACCUUAAACAAGCAACUUUGGCAUGCUCUUUUGUUAUAAUAAAAAAUGCUUCCUUAAGAUAGUGAGCAAAAAAUAAAAGUAUAUAAAAUAAUUUAUUUGAAUUAUGAAUUAUUUUUAUUUAUCUACCUAAUUUUUCAAUAUUUUAUUUUUGAAUAUUUUAACUUCCCAUAACUUUGGCCUAAGGCCAAACUUGUGAGUUGCCACUAUCUUUACAAUGGUGUACUAUAUUCACCAUCUAUAUUUUUUUUUCCAUAAAAUAAGAUAAAUUAUCUCGAAUGCAUUAUCUUAAUAAAUAAAUCAAAAUUACAAAUUUUCAUUUUCUCCAGUUGCUACGGCCUGGCCCAAAAUUUGACCGAGCCCAACAAAAUUAAUAGGCCGAGUUGGGCCUUUGACGAACAAAUUUAAUGGGCCCAAGCCCGUUUAAUUUCUCAGCUUUAAAAAUCGCACCAGGGCGCACCACUUGGGCCUGAGGGGAAUUAUAGAAUGGGCCCAAAAAAGCCUAAAAAGUCGAAAAAGCCCUUGUGCGGGCCUAGGGCAUAUCGUCGUUGUAAUUAGGGUUUUGAGAGAGAGAGGGAUAGAGGAGGUGAAGAAGAAGAAGAGGAGGUGGUCGCCAUGGGGACGAGGGAGGUGUACGAGGAGAAGCUCCGCACGGGGAAUCUGUACCAUGACCCCACCAUUAAACCCGGCCUCGGCUCCCCUCGUUGCCCCCGAUGCCUCUCCCUCGUUAACCCUAAUUCCGUACCUCUCCAUCCCUUCGAUUUCGAUCCAUAUGUGGCGUCGAAAUCGUAUCUUUUUUACCUCUGAAUUUGUUCUUGCACUAUAUAUGAUUUCUUUUUUGCGUUUUUUUUCGAUUUCGCAGGGAGAAGGUGAGUGGGCGAUCACUUCUGUUUUGCACGAUGCGGCUGCGGUGGUAUGGAAAAACAAAAAAAACCCUUUUUUAUAUAAUUCUUUAGUGUUGUAGCAAUUUGGUUGUAACUGAGAUUGGAUUUCUAAUUAAAUUAUUUUGUAGGCCGGUUCGGGGGCCGGUGCACUGCUUAGCGCAGUUCAUGGAUUCAAUACGGGUAUAUUGUGUUAAAUUUUGUAGCUUUGAAUUAUAAUCGUGUUGAAUAAUUUGAGACUCAAAUUUUUUUAAAAAAAAAUUUCUGUGGUUAUUGAUGAUUUUGGGACAGGAAUUCCGUUUAUUCAGAAACAUGUGAGGGGUUCCAAGUGGAUGCACUUGCUUAUUGGGGUAACAAUUUCAAACUUUUUGCACAUGAAAACUAGAUUAUUCUGGUAUUUGAUAAAUUGUUUAGAGAAACAUUGCAUCACGCUGAUGUGUUUUGCGUGUAUCUAGCUAGUUGUUCAUGUAGGAGCUUUUUUUAAUGUUAUGUCAAGGCUAAUCUCAGAACUGAGAAUACCCUAACGGAAAAAACUACUUGAAAUCACAGUGAGUUUUUUUUUUUUUUUUUUUUUUUUUUUUCUCCUCUGGGAUACUUGAGUGUUCAGGAGGAAUAGAUUUGUCAUGCAUUGUAGUUUUCAGUUGUGAAAAUGCAUUAAUUAUGUUAUUUUGCACUGAUUUUCAUAGUACAUAAUGUGUUAUGGAUUGUAGUAUUCGACUGUGAAAAUGCAUUAUUUAUUUUGUUAUGCAUUGAUUUGCAUAGUACAUAAUGGGCAUUAAUCCCUGACAAGACUAGUCUCUUGAUACUGUGCUGAAUUGCUUUGCUCAUAAUAUCUAGUGGUGUAUGAGUUUUUUUUUUUUUUUUUUUUUUUUUUUUUUAACUUCAUUGAUCAAAAUGAAGCCAUUAAUUCGUUUGUUUAUAGCGGCAAACUUUUCCCGAGAACCCUUCUUAGGAUUCUUCAGUUAGUUCCUUGAAAGUAGUAUGCUUUGUACCAUUUGCCAUUUAGGUUUGUUUGGUUAGUAUCUAGCACCCAGAAUGUUUGAAUUUUCAGGACCUGGUUGAUUACUAAUUCUUGGAACUUUCAGACUUUAUUUGGUUGAUGCAGUUAGGCUUUGCAAACUAUUCUUUACUUUGGUGACUUAUGAGUCCAAUGUCAUACAAAGUGGAGAGGAUUGUAUGUGAUGUCAUGGGCAAGGCUCUUUAGCCAUAAACUCCUGCUAUUUGACACAUUGAUUUUCCGAAAUCUCUGCCAUCUAGUCUAGGUCCUAUUUUGUGGGCUUUGUUUGGCAAGAAGCAUCCAGUAGUAACGUUUUUCAGUUCUCUUUUCGUUUAAAUUGGAGGCUGACCUUCGUUAAUAAGAAUGAAGAAGCCUGUCCUCCGGUGAAUUAGAUUGCAUAGAAUUUGAGUUUGGGAGAUCCACAGUUACGAGCUAGCAAAUAAGGCCUUGAACAUUUUGAAUUGACUGGGAAUCUGAGAUGGACGUUUUGAAUGGACUGCGAAUCUGAGAUGAGCUUUUGGACUAUGAGAUUAAAGGUUUCAUUUUGCCCCUUCUGCUUGUGGUUUCGUAUGGAACAUACCUGUUGGAAAUUUAGUUUAAAAGCUUUUAGGGCUUCUCAAACUGCUGUUGUUGAACAACACUUGUGUCGAACCUCCUCAUUUCUUGCUGGUGUUUGUGCGUAGUUAUGGAAGUUAAAAGCUGCUUUUCUACCAUCAUGUACUGACUGAUUUUUUUUUUCUUUUUGAUAUAUAAUUAACUGCCCCCCCCCUUUUUCUACAGCUUCCUCCUCUUCUUUUGUACUCUGGUGCUAGUGCUGCAUUUGGAGGUAAUGUUCUCCCUCUUUAUCUGCAAAGUAUUAUUUAUAUCUGUUUCAACAACCUUUCAUUUUUCUAUUACACUGUUUGGAGAUCAGUACCUAAUAAAAUUAUUUUUUGUUUGGAAAAGGAAAGAUAUUUACUUAGAUUUUGGUCGAGAAAUUAGUUCGAAAAUGUACUUACUAAGAAUAGAGAACUUUAUAUGUUGAGUUUAGUAGAUCUGAUCAAAUAGAGCAUGAUGUGAAAUUUAGACAGUUUUGUGACAAAGGUAGCAAUGCUAUGUAUCUUUUCGAGCUUACCAUGGUGAUGAAAAAAGGUUUUUUUGUCAUCUUCGUUAUCAUUGGGUUGAAAGUAUCCAGUUAAUUUUCCAAAUUUGAGCAUAAGAAUUAACCCCAUGUCGGAACAAAAGUUUCAUUUGUUGUAUUUUAACAUGAUUGUUUUACAUCUUUUCUAAAUCAUUGAUAAAAAAAUCUGUACAUAUCAUUGGUUGCAAAGGACCUAAUGGAUGCACUUCUUAGACCAAGAUCAAUACUGGUGCUAACUUAUUCAUUUUCUUACGACUUCUAUGAGCUUAUUGUUUUUUAGUGAACUCUGAUGGGGAUACAAUUGUUUGUUGCAGCCUACGUUGUUCCAAAAUUUACCCAGCUCACCGUGACGUCCUAUUAUGCAGCAUCAAGUGCCUCACACUAUGCAAUAUCACAGAUCACCCGUUCCAUUGAAGAGGCUCAUUCAUCUCGUAGUCUUCAAGAUAAACCCAGAUGAGAUAUGCCAUUCAUAUCAGGUCAACAGGUUGUCCUUGUAUAUUUCUACUUUUUACUAUGAAAAAAGUUUUCAGUUGCAUGAUGUACAGGACUCUUACAUUUUUCUUUCUUUUAUAUGCUGCUACUAGUAUGAAGUUUUCCGUACUCCCUGGUAUUUGCCUGAUGUUACUGUUAAUGAUAUUUGUAAGUUUCUUAUUAAUUAAUUUUUAGAGAGAAGUAAUUAUGCACCAGAUUUCAGAGUUGCUACUUUAUAUAUAUAUAUAUAUAUAUCUGUCGAAAUGGUAGAAUUUAAUUAUUGCUUGAUGGGCAUGCUAUGGCUUUCUUAUAAAGUGCAAUUACAUCUGAAAGUUGUUGUUGGAUUAAUUAGAAGGAUGAGAAUAUCUGGCCGAUUUGAGGGAUGAGAGUUGGGGGAGGAAAGGUAAAUAAUGAGAGCAGUAGGGGCGAAUUUGAUAACUUGAUGUACUUGGAGCCUAGGGUCAAGGUGUUUAAUUAGUUUCAUGUUGAUGAUGGUAAGUCGUGGGAUUUUGCUUUUGUCUUUCGAAAAGAGAAAAGGCUUAUAAUAGUUGGUCGGUCUUUCAGCUAGAAUUUAGUAAUGAUUAUUGAUGUAUUUACUGGGUAAUAAAAAUAGUGGAAUCUAGAAUGUGUACUCCUUUUGUUUUGCCCCGUUUUUGUUUAAGAGCCCAGGUCAAGGAGGUUUUGCUUCAAGGAUUGAGUGUAAGGGAGGAGAAUGGUAUGCUAAUUUUAGCAGCAGGGUGAUCACAAUUUUUUGUUUUUGUUGCAGAUGUUGUAUCAGAGGACUUUUUCAUAUUGCUUCCACGGAGACUUCUUGGUAGGAAUUGACUAUCAGAAAGAGCCCAUCAAAUUGGGAUUGCGUGAUAGUAGUGGCAAUGUAGUGGUGAAGGUAACAAGUAUCUUUGAUUGUAGAACAGAAACUUGCUAAUCUUUCCAUUUUAUUGAUGUGAUCAACAAAAAAAGCUGCUUAACUUCCGGUGAGUUGCAUAGGAUUGAAAAAGAAAGGGACGUUUUGAAGGAUAAGUGACUUUCUUUAGGACAGAGAGAUACUGAAUGGUAUUUGAGUUAUUUGUGAUUGCUUGAUGAUAUACCAACUAUUUCUAAUUGUUAGGUUGCUGGGAAGUUGUUCAGCAAAGAAAAGUAAUGUUUGGGUUUGUGCGAUAGAAGUUUAGGGGAUAAUCGUAGUCUUCUUGGUUAAGUGAUUCUAGAUUGCUUUCAUGUUCCAUUUUCUAUACAGUAUGAUUCAUAAUGUAAGGCAGAGAAACUAUGCUCUUAAGAAUAGAAUGUUGUCUACUGGGAGGACCAAAGUAGUACCAAGCCCAAUUUUAGAUCUUGCGGACGUCAUAAUUUUAAACAUGAAAGCAAGUUUAGGUCGGGUGAAUGUGGGAAUCUUACUUGCUCCACUGGUCUACAUGGCAGAAAAUUUUGGUAGCUUAAAAGAAAGGAUGGAAGUUGCAGAGUAGGCUUAUAAUUUACGCGUUUCGUGAAUGCAAACCUUGGCUGAACUCUUAUCAGAUUAUUCUUGGGUGCUUUUUGGUUGUUGUUUGCUUUUUUACUUUUGUUUCUCUUUCACUUCUUUAAGGUUGUAUGUACUUUGCGGUUGGUCUCUAUAUUUUUCUUCGUUCCCUUUGUUGCAUAUUGUAAGAGAAAAUAUAAAAACAAAUGGUACCCUUUCCUAUUGAAAGGAGAAGUUUGCUUGCAAACCCCAGCUAUCUGAAUGUGCUUUUAUCUUGAAGAACUGAAGGGGGGAAGAAUGAAUAAUGAAUGCCAUGAGCAAUGCCCAACUCUGACCUUAUUUUGAUGGUUAGUACUUGCAAUUGUGCAUCUUCAGUACAAUUUUCCAGAAUUUUAUCUUCUGUGAACACUGAAAUUACAGUUAGAAUUGUUCUUCCAGUUCACCGUAUAGUCCCGAUCAAACCAUUUUUUUAGAUUGUUCAGGUCAGGUUUAAAGUAACCUGGCCGAAUAUGAGUGCUUGUAUGGCUAGUCCUUGGGGACCUGUUUGAUCGUCUGAACAAGUUAUCUAGCAACAAUUUGUUAUUAUACAGAUUUUUUUUUUUUUUCUCUUUUCUAUUGCAACCUAUAAAUUUGUGCAAGAUUCUGAUGGUCCUGAUUUUUCAGAAUAAUGUAUGCCACCUAAGAGGCGAUGUAUCUUAUUCUUAUGAAAUGAUUUAUACACAUCUAGUCGUACUGUUCAUCUGUGUCAGUUACUGCAUGGUUUCCGAGUAUGGUGUGACACCCCAAUAGUCUCACAUCGGAUGGGAAAAGGAUUGUCAUUGAGUUUAUAACAGACUUAGACACUAGUAAUAAUAACUGGGCUUAAGCAUUUUGGGCCGGUGGUUGGGCCCAACGAGUUAUUGUUGCUAGUGGGCUGGGUCGUUACAUUUGGUAUCAGAGUCGGUUCACCAGUUGGACAUAUGUGGCGAGUCUCGGCUGAGCCAGGGUUUGUAUGACGGGCUAGCGAGACGAGUCUCACAUUGCCUGGUGUUUUUGGGCUGUGUGUGUGAUUGGACUGACGAGGACGUCAGGGCCUUAACGGAUGGAGUCUGUGACACUCCAAUAUCUCACAUCGGAUGGGAAAAGGAUUGUCAUUGGGUUUAUAACAGACUUAGACACUAGUAAUAAUAACUGGGCUUAAGUAUUUUUGGGCCGGUGGUUUGGGCCCAACGAGUUAUUAUUGCUAGCCGGUCGGAUCGUCACAGAUAGUAUCAGAGCCAAUUACCAGCCGGAAGUGUGAGAUGAGUCUCGGCUGAGCCAGGGUCUGGAUGACGGGCUAGCGAGACGAGUUUCACAUCGCCUGGUAUUUGUGAGUCUGAGCCUGACGAGGACGUCAGGGCUUAAAGGAGGGGAGGUUGUGAGACCCCAGAUAGUCCUAUAUAUAAGAUAUAAUAGGGCUAAACUCUUAACCCGGCUUAAGCAUUUUGGAUGGUGGCUAGACCUAAGAGGUUAAGAGAGUUAAGCGUGCUAGGACGGCAGUAGUCCUAGGAUGGGUGACCCCUGGAAAGUCGGGGCGUCACAUAUGGAAAGAGUGAUCUGUCGAAAAAGAGGUUAAUCAUAUAUCCAAAUAGGUUGUUAAUGUUUUUUUAGCUCGACUGAUGCUUCUCCAGUAGUGCUAUUCUGGGUGAGGCAAUGGUCCCAGGCAUGAUAGGAAAUGAUGCUCUCGCUUAUUAUGAGAGUGCUCUCUCUCCGUCCCCUCUGAGCUCCUGCUGCAGAAGAGCCGUGCUAGCUGUUCACAGCGAGCAGAGCAGCCCCAGAAAUAAUGGCAAGAAACAAGCCAACACCGAACCUCAGACGGACCAUUAUUAGCCCUCCUUUCCUAAGCUGGUCCCUCAAUGGCUCUUUGAUUAGAUAUGCAAAUUUAAGAUGUUGGCAGGGCUCUAUUUCUGGAGUCACCGCCCCUGCAGCUCGCCUUUAAGAUCUGGUCCUGUUUUGAAGCCAUCUCUGGCCAGUGGUCCUUCCCCAUCUCCUCUUAGGUUUUUCAUCACAUUGCAAAAAAGAGAUGAUUUGUUGAUUUUACCCCCCGUUUAGAGUCUGGAAGGUUCUUUCGUAGCGUACGAAGUGUCGUCUAAAUACUGCUCUUUUGGUUUUAGACCUCAGAAUCUCAUUUUAGCUUCCUGUUUAAGCAGAAGGUCAAUAUUUCUAUUUACCAAACACUGAGGUAAAAAUAAAAGCAGACACUAAGUGCCAUCAAUCAUAAGAAUGGUGGGAUCCGUCUUCGGUUGGUACCGCGUUGCUGCGCUUCGGCUAUUUUUGCAGUCUAGAAUGUCGAUAUAUUGAGGCUUUUAGGUGUACAAGUGCAACCUAAUAUAAGAUGGAUUUUGCCAUUCAAUUUGAUCUGAGUUUGACAUUAAUUGCUACCUAAUUGUGCAGAAAAGUCACAUGUUAUCUGCAUCUUAAUUGGUGAUAAGAUAAGUUCUGCUGUCGCUGAGCGUUGAAAUUAAUUGAUCUUACAUUGCCAUUGCAUUAGUCUAGUUGAUCGAUAUGGACGCGUUAAUUAAAGAUGCGGUUGGGCUCGACCGGUCCGACGGCGGCCCAUGAAAGCAACUGCUGAAUUUCAUCUGAAUUGGUUCCCAGUAAGUAAUGGUGUGUGGUCAAGAAACGCUGCCAUGUUUUGGUUGCCAGAACAAGCAGCAGCAGCUUUCACCUAUUCAUUGCAUUAUGCUCGGUCAUGUUACAUUAAUAGGGAAUAAAAGUCUCCUUUGGCUCAUAUACCAAUUGCAGCAGUAGUUACUCUGCCAAUUCUCUUGUUUUCUCAAUUGAUUUAGACUCAUUCCAUCUUUCUUUAGAAACCAAGUAGGUUUUCCAGCUAGUGUUCUAUCAGGGGCCCCACUUCACACAUUGCAAGAAAAGGGAGAAAACAAUGUUUUGGGAAUACAAUGCAAUGAAAAGAGAGAGAGAGAGAGAGAGAGAGAGAGAGAGAGAGAGAGAGAGAGAGGAAACACUUGGGGAGGAGAGAGAACUUUUUGUUUGGGACCACUUUUUGGGGUGAUGCUCAAAGAUGGUGGUGGUUUAGGAAGGCAAUCAACAAAGGCCUAACAAGUGCAUGGGCUUUCGCUUUCUCUUCCUUUCUAUAUGGGGCCUAUCCUAACAGCACAAAGGAACCACUAGUAGAAACAUUUGUUUGUAUGUGCUCUGUGCAUGAUGACGUUACCAAAAAAAGAAAAUGAAGCACCAAGAAUGUCAAAAUUUAGGUUUUUUCCUCUUAACCAAAUUAAAUUUGUUGUUGAUCAGAUGCCAGUCCAGUUGAAGUUCUUUCGGAUCUGUGAGGCAGUAGUUUUCAUUCUCUGUAGCGGUUUAAAUUUCAUCUGCUAGCUCUUCUGUUAAUACCGGGUGCAUGGUGUGUUUGAGCCCAGCUGCGCUAGUUAUUAGCGGGGGGUGUUGAUAAAAUUAUUAUUGUCUUCUUCUUCGCAAGACAAGUCUAUGAUAUAUUCGGUUUUCAUGAAUCCACAUUAGUUCCGAUGUUACUCUAGGAAUACGGAGAGAACUUUUGGUAGUUGAUGCAUCAUAUCGACGUCGCCAAGCGACGGAGGGGGACCAUAUGUAAGGAAGUGAAAUUAUGAAGGAGGCAUUAUUCAUGUGAAUGUCUCCAACCUUCACCUACCAGAGUUAGGGAGUGGUAAUGACCUUUGAUGUCGAACUAUGCGGCGUGGGAGGAUCACUAUCCUUUCGGUUCCCUUUCAAUGGUAACAUCUCAAGUCUCCUCAUCGCUUUCAUCUCCAUUCCGCUUGACGUAGAAAUGGCUUCUUCUUGCAAUGGUAGAUGAUCAAACAUAGGCAACAUCUUAAUGGUGAUAGGAACCUUCAUGUCUCUACUCAAAGCACAAUGUGAAUGAGUUGGAUGCAUUGAGUGAACCCUGCAUUUACCUAAACAAGUUAGUACUUCGAAUUUAAGUAAAAACCAACCCCAGUGUGGUACCAGUAUGGGAGAGUACACUGUGCCUAAUUAAAUAAACAUUGUCCUUGUGCCCUCAGUGAGAGGUUGGAUUGUACCUCACAUUUACCAGAUAGUAAUCUGCUUAAGGAGCAAUUUUUUCUUUUCUUUUCCAGAAUCAGGAGCUGGACCCCCCCUACAUUUCCACACCGGAAUUAAGUUCUCCAACGCCGGAAUCAAAACCCUGUCUCUCUCUCUCUCUCUCUCUCUAUCUCUCUUCUUCCGCCUUUUUGGUUUGAGGAACUUCCAAUUGAAUUCAAAGUGAAUUCUUCUGAACCAGCUAGUAUGAGAAUUGCACUUCUGCCCAGAUAAGGCUCCAAGAUAGAGAGUUGCUUCAUAAAUUACCGACUGUAAACACAUUUAACUGCAGCGCACAAAGCAUGACACCGAAAUCCUCAUGAGCAGUUUUGAACAGAUCAAAUUAAUAGUAAUCAGACUGACAUGAUGCGCAUCUGAACUUUGUCAGAUACUACAAUACAUUUUAUUACUUCAUAGUUCAACAUUUCAUUGCGUUUUACCUAUUAGUUAAUGCUGAUUAGUACUAGCAAAUGAAAUUUCUUUUUCAAUAUAUAUAUAUGUAUAUAUAUAUAUAUAUACUAGUACCUAAAGCAACACUAACUGAUCAGUGUAGUGUUAAAUAAAAGAAUUUUGUACCACCCUAUCAUUUGAUUAUAAUCUUACUGGUACCACCUUCAACAUUAUCUUGUUUUAAAUAACCUCUAACAUGCUCCCAUGUGUGCUUCCCACUAAAGAGGAAUAUAAUUAAGAAUCAAACAUAGUUCAAUCAAAGCAAUAACACCAAAAUUAAAGCUGAGUUACUUUGGCUGUGUGUCCUAGCUAUGUAGUGGUCCUAAGCUCUCACCCCAAUGCCCAUGAUCUCUUCUGGGCCCUGAGAGGGGAACAAUCAAUUCUUUGCGGACAGAGGCGUCGUGCAUCGGUGGCAUGAGUACAGCGCUGCAGCGGCUGGGCAUCGAUCAGAGAUGGAGCUGGUUCGGUGGUCUCUGGUUCAAUUCGAUCUCAUCGAUAUUGGUUGAUUUGCGGCCUACGCCUCCUCCAUAACUUGUUCAUUUCCUGAUAACAUGUCAGGUCGUGGAGACCACGUCGCCAAGUUUCAUAAUUGAUGUUUCUUUCUUUCUUUCUUUCUUUCUUUCUUUCUUUUUUUUCUUUAUACUGUAAUACGCAUGGUGAUUUUGUACGCAAAAAUUUUGUUUAAAAAAAAAAAAAAAAAAAUCUUUGUGCGUACCAGCAAAAUGAAAUGAAAUAAAGAAGAGAAAUGUAAUUACAUGGAUUUCUUUUUUUCUUUUUUCCUUUUUAGUCACAGUAAAUUUUUGAGUCUUAUGGGAGGAUCUAGUUUCAAUCAUAAGCAUAAUUGAUGAUUGUGAUUGGUACUCUAAGCAAGCAAUGAUAAGGUCUCUCUAAUCAUGAAGCUUAUGUAACAAUAUACACAUUUUUUUUUUCUUUUUUUUUUUUAGUGCAUGAACACUAUUCUUUUAAUUGAGCUCUCCUUUGGAUGAGCUUAACAAUUAUUAGACAAAGUGUCAACAUCUCUCUUCUCCCUCCACUCAUUAAAUCUUAGAUUUUUCUUUCCCCCUCUAAAUCUCAAUGUGAACUCCUCAUUGGUGCGCUAAGUGGGCUUUAUGAUAAAUAAAACUUAAUAAUAAAAGGUGAUUAAGUUGGGGAUUAAACUACAUGGAGAUAAUCACUCCCCCACAACUUUAUCCCAUAUCUUUUUGUUGGCUUAAGGAAAAAGGUGAUACUAGAUAAUAAUAUUACAACAAAAAAGGGAUGGAUCCAAUGAUCCAAUCUACACCAACAUGUUUAAUUACAGGCACCAAGAUGCCUUGCUCUCUAUCUCUCUCCCACUCCUCCUUGUGCACUGAUAGCCCAGCAUGUGAAAAGAACCCCCAACAUUCCCCAUCUUUCCCUCCUACCCAAUAAGAAACUCCAUAAAAUCUACUCUAAAAUAAUAUAUUAAAAUAUAUCUACUCAUUUUGGUGACUUCACCUAGCUAGAUGCUCCUCUUUUUUUUUCUUUUUUUUUUCCUUUUUUUCAUUUUAUUUUAUGUUUUUUUUUUCCUGCUUUGUGGUCCUGAGAUUAUAAGAGUUCUAACACUCUCCGACAACACUAUGACCCCAUGCCUUGAGAAGACCACCAAGAGGCCUUUGGGAGGCAAAGCAGGGGCCUAUCCACACUGACAUUGGUAUGUGUAACAUGAAGGGAACCAUCACACUCAAAUGCUCAAAGCAUGUAUCAUAUAUGAUAUUGAAACCUCUCUCUCUCUCUCUAGAUGUUCUUUAUAGUGUCAACAUGUGUCUUGCAUUAGUAAACUAAUAGUUGUGUAGUUUUGCUGGAGCUCAUAGUGCUUUGUUUUUGGCUUAUGCUUCUAUUUUUAGCAGUAAUUAUUUUUAACAAUUUUUUUUUUCUGCUUGGCAAAUACAUUAGUUUGAUUUUUCUAUUGAAAUGGAAAACCUAUGUAUUAUGGACACACUUACUUUUUUUUUAUACAUAUAUAAUGUAAGAUAAUAAAUAUUUUAAUUUUUUGAUAAAUAAAUAUAAAAUUUUUUGGACAAUAUAAAUAAUUAUAUAUAACGGAUAAUUUUUUUAAAAAAAUAUAUGAACUAUUAAUCAGAAUUUUAUUAACUUUAAUAUGCAUGAGAAAUAUAACAAUAUUUUAACAAAAUUAAUAUUUUAUAUAUAAUAAAUAUAUAUUUUAUUAUAUUAAUAAUAUUUUAUUUUAUUAGUAGUAUCCAUAUCGUAUCCGUAUUCUAAUUUUUUGAAAGUUGUCGUGUUCAAAACAUGUCGUGCCCCAUAUUUUGUGUCGGUGUAUGUGACGUCUAGUGGAAAAUUAAAUAGAGAUUCUUAGCCUGCGAUAAAGGACUCCAACUUAGAGCUACAAAUUUAAUUUGCUUAAAAAAUUUCUGUAUGAUGCUUCUUUUAAUAGCUUUGCUUUAUUAAUCCUGUAUCAAAAUCACGACCUGCAUGCGAUAAUAGAGCCACAUAUACUGGCCCUUAAUUGCUGCAACCUUUUGGAGCUGUGAUUUUUGAAAAGGCCCUCGUGGUUUUCUUUUAAUUCAAAUAUGAAAUAGGUUGGCGCUGAAGCUUCAAGUUCAAAGUGUUACCAAAUAAUUCGAUCUAAUAAAAGAGUGAGGCUACUAUGCUAUCGGAAGCACGGAGCCUUCCGUGCUUUCAGCUCGUUUUCGAUGUUGCGACUUUCGAAUCGUCGAUCGGCUCCGUUAAACUUGAUCUAGAGUAUUUGGAGUACCUAGAAAAUAAAUUUUAUUAUUUUUCGAUACCAUUUGCCUAGUGAUCGAAUGGGCUCAAAAUCAACAAAUUUCAAUGGCCGUAGUGAGCCGUUUGCAAAUUUAACGGUGUAGAAAUAUCCAAAUCACGUAAAAUUUUGAUAGAAAAUUUUUUAUGCUAUAUAAAACAAGAUCAAUAUCUUUGAUUUAAAAUUUUAAUGUCAUAUUAUUACAUUUUGUAAGAUUUUUAUUUUCAGCCGUUGAUUUUGAGCCCCUUCGUUCACUAGGCAAAUGAUAUCGUAAAAUCAUAAAAUUUAUUUUCUAGGUACUUCAAAUACUCUAGAUCAAGUUUAACGGAGCCAAUCGACGAUUCAAAAGUCGCAACAUCGAAAAUGAGCUGGAAGCACGGAAGGCUCCGUGCUUGCGAUAGCAUAGUAGCCUCACUCCUAAUAAAAAAUGAUUUCAGAAUAGUCUUAACAUCCGCACUCAAGUGUGUGCCUUUUUUUUUUUAAUUUAAGACAAAAAUAACAAGCUACCCAUUUUAUUCAUUAAAAAAAUAAACUUAGUUACAACACUGAGACAAAUUGAAAAGAAAGGUAUGAAAGAAAUAAAAGGACAAAAAAAAAAAAAAGCAAAAAAUAGUAUCUAAUUAACUAAUUAAUCAUCCACCGAAUCACCUAGCUUUACAGAAUUUUUUCCUCUGCCUCCCUAAACUCCUCAUCUUUUUUACAAUAAGCGUCCAAUCUGAACUAGAUGUCUAAAAUUUAUGUUAUUUCUUUCCGGUCAGAUUGGCAACCAACUUGCCGUUAAAGUGCUCAGUCACAUUGUGACGGACUCGGAAGGCCCCAUCAUCCUAAUCAGUUCACAAAAAAGGUUUUGACGUUCGUCCCACUUGUUUGUUCGAACCUGUCAUCUAGGAACAUAUUAGCAAGAAUCCACAAAAUAAGCAUCUCGUGAGAAGGUGAUCGGUUGUCUCAGCCUCGUCUCCAUAUAGUACACAUAUCUGAUCUCCCAACCGGCAUCUCCUAAAAAGGUUGUCUGCUGUAAGGAUACUCUUCUUAAAAACAAGCCAAGUGAACCGUAUUACAUGAAAGCGAUAAGUGAGCUAAAGGAAUUGGAAAGGAUGAGUAUUGAAUUCAUUGAACAGUGAAUGUGAAGAAUUGAUUCUAUCCAAAAAAUUGAUUUGAUAGGAAGCGGAAUAGAAAUUGUCAGAUCGUAAACUUCUUUUUUGAGAGAUAGGUAGCACGCUACCUAAUUCGUUUAUUUCAUUUAGAAAUAAAUUUAGUUAGAAAUGUGAAUCAAGUAGGAUUCAAAUUUGGGUCUCGGGUACCAACCACCAAACCCUUACCACUUACUCUAGGGACAGUCGGUGUCAGAUCGUAAACUUCAAAACUUAAACUUUUAUUCUAGGGACCUUUUGGCGGAAAGAAAUCAUGGCCAUACACAUGGCGCGAUCUGGUUCGCCUGCCAAUAGGUACCACUCAAUGCGCAGAUAAGGUUGGAUCUGACUUUGGCUCAGGUGCGGACUGAAGAGGAAACAAUCCAAUUGGGUUCAAGCUUGAGAAAAGGCCUUAAGGUCUUCACGCACGCAGGAGAAAGACCUGACGCUUUGGCUUCUGAGCUUCGACGGCCGUUCGAACCAAAGUCACGGCGCCGGACCUGCAUAGAGAGUUAAUAAGUCCGCGCGGUGUAGGGAGUACGUUCGCCAGUGAGGACGAGCUAGUCUAGUGAUGAUUGGAGUAGUGUGAAGGGCGAUGUCAUCGGACCUGAAGGGUAGUAGAGAUUACGUUACGUCUACUCCUAGAUUACGUUAACACUACUGUUAGACUACAUUACGGUUAUUCCUACUCAAAUGUGAGCUGUUGAUAGGCUGGUGUCUGUGAUGUGAUCUUCGGGUCCCUUCUUUGUAGCUGUCUUCGUCUUUUAUAGACGAGUCAUUGCGAUCAUCGGAGUUUCCGAUGCUCCUUCGAUUCACGAAACUCCUUUCCUCAACUAUUCCCUAACUUCUCGCUCUCGAUUGAGCGUGUUUGACUUCUGAUCAGUACUUACUUCAAGUGAGCCCACCCUCCGUUCGCCGAAACGAGCGUGUUUGGGCACAAAACCAAAGCGUACACCGGAGCACUCUUUGGCAUAACUUCUUGCCAAAACCAUCUUCCGCUUCGAUGUCAACAGGACCCAAAAGCUCACUCUAGCUUUCUGUCUCACAAGCCAAAGCGCUAUAUUUUAUAUAUGUCUUUAUUCGAUCCGACAAAAAACAGAUCAUUGAAUUUUCAAAAGCAUAAACUUCGAACCUUGAACUUCUAUUUUAGGACGACCGAAUUAAAAACUUACUUAAGCUUUCUAUAUAGCUUGCGCGUAGUUAAUUAAGAAGCUCUAGAUUUUACGUUCAUCAUGAUUCUUACGGCCUUUUGCUUCUGAAAAACAAACGAAUGCUCCAGAAGCCAAGCCAAAUAGGCACUACAUACGCAGGGCGCACAGAGAUGGUUUGCACAAACUUCGUUCCCAUUAAUUUGGCAAUGGUCACUAAGAGGGUUGGGUUUGGGUCGAGAUGGUCCCCCUAAUCUUCCCAUAGUACUGCUCCGAGUGUGGCUUUUUAAGCUUUUAAUGGAGAGUUCAUGUGGGGACGCUUGCAUGAAUGAAGGGUUAAUGAUUAAAGGUCUAGGUUAUACUAGUGGAAUUAGUUUCUCUUUCCGAGGGACGCAUAAAAAUCAAUUUGGUUACUAUUUACUAACUAAAUUCAAGCACAUUAGAAAAAAAAUUAGAUCUAUAUAUGUACGCUUUAUUUCUUUUGAGAGAGAGAAAGAUAGUAUACUACCUGUUUUGUUUAUUAUUUUUAAAAAUAAACUUAGCUGGAGAUGUGAAUCGACUAGGAUUUAAAUUUGGGAUCUCGAAUACCAACUAUCAAGUCCUUUGCCACUUGCAUUAUAUACGCUUUAUUACUACUAUUUUUAUACAUGUAUUUUUAUUGAAUAUUCAAACUAUCUAGUGAUUGGAUUUGAUCAUAUUCGAUGAAUCAGACAUGUCAGCAAUCUAGUGAUUGGAUUUGAUCAUAUUCGAUGAAUCAGACAUGUCAGCAAUAAACUUACCUUUGUUAAUAUGACAUCUUAUUGAACUUAUAUAAAGUUUGGUAGUUGAAAUAUGAAACUUUAAGAAAUUAAAUAAGCUGGAAAUGGUCUUACAGAACAAAAUUUUUUUUUUUCUAGCUAUAAUGGUGAAAAGGGUAAUGUAUCAAUCAUUUUCCUGUUAUAGUUCGAAGAGUACACAGGUCUCCUUUGUUGGUCCCUUGUCAUAAUCAUUAAAUUAACUAUUUAAGCCUAAAAUCCAUAAAAAGACCACCAAUACGAGCACACAUAUUUGUCCCACCCCCUAAUAAUGCUCGAUUCUCAAAAUGGGAAAAAAAAAAAAAAGAAAAAGAAAAAACAAAAGAAACCCCAACACCCACCCACAAUUGACGCACACACUUUUACGCUCCCAACUAACAACUUCUCCCCACCGCAGCUCCAAAAUCCGGAGAAAUAAUUAAGCGCUUUUUCGAGCCGUAAAAAGGCUACGUACAUCUCUUUGGGAACGGCAAAGGGGAAUAGUUUUAACAUUUUCGCUCGUAGAAUCACGUAUGUAAAGAAAUAGUUUAAUAUUUUCGCUCAUUGAAUCACAUGUAUAAAAGAAUAAUUUAACAUUUUCGCUCAUAUUAUUUUGCUUAAUGAAUGAAGCAGGUCGCUCAUAGAAUCACAAAGAUUAGACCAAUUAUAUUACACAUACUGAGUAAAAAAAAGAUAGUAAAAGAUAACAAAUAAAAAUAUAGGUUACAAUAUGAAAAAUGUAGGAAUUGAAACUCCUGGAAUGGAAGGAGAAAUUAUUGCUUGCGUGGAGUGUAUAAUUACAUCUCAUGCACUGCACCUCCAAGCCCUAUGAUAGAGACUUUUAAAUUAUAAUCUAAUUCAUUAAAUAUAUGAAAAUACCUUUCUAUUUAUGUGAAUCAUGAAUAUAAAAUACAUGUAGAAAUAUUGAUUGGUAAAUAUAUAUUAAUACUCCCACUGAUGCAACUGGAAUAUAUUAACUUGUUAGAUGAUGAAGAUGAGAGGUUUUAGGAUUAGCUCUAAUAUAAUGUUAAAAAUAUGAAAUAAACAUUUAUCUCCAAUAGCUUAAGUUUUUGGAGAGUAAUAAUUAUUUCACAUAAUUUAACAUAGCGUUAGAGAAAGAGAUCGAGUUUCGGAGUUUGAAUCCUAUCAGGCUCCUAAUCUUAUUAAUUAAUUAGUUUCCUUCCAAUUAAUUUAAAUCUACAUUUUAAGAUAUUAAAAAUAAACAGUUGUUUAUCAUUCUUUAACAUUUUGGUAUAUAUCAUUUUUUAUAAAUCAAACACUGCAUUUUUUUUUUAACUAUUGGUUUUUGAAACUAUUUGAUGCUCACUUAAUAGGUAGUAUUUUAUAUAUAUAUAGACCUUUAAAUGAUGUAUAUAUAUCACGUCCGUCGAAUUAUAUUUUAAUUAUAAAAUAUUCAUUAUGAAAUAUUAAGGGUGGUGAAAAAAAAGUAUGUGCACACAAAGUUGCAUUUAAUAAUUUUAAAACAGAAAAGACUUAUAUCGCUCGAAUUAGUACAGCGUUAUUUAUUAAAUUAAAUUGACCUUAAUAGGAUCUUCGUGUCAACCUCAUCGUAAUAAAUAAACGUUGCAUAGAAGAACACUAAGCACUCAUCUAUAUAUGUAUUUUUCAGAAAAUGACACGUUACUUAUUUUUGUGAAAUUACAACUACGACUCUGUUCUAAUCAGCCACAGAGAAAANUAAGCACUCAUCUAUAUAUGUAUUUUUCAGAAAAUGACACGUUACUUAUUUUUGUGAAAUUACAACUACGACUCUGUUCUAAUCAGCCACAGAGAAAACGUUUUUUUUUUAUAUUAAAAAUAAUAAUAACCCGAGAGCCUCUCUUUAAGAAGUUGUUGACACUUACCUAUGUAUCCUAAGCAAUUAAUAGCCGUCCAUCUCCAUCUGAAUCAGGAAUCUUUAAUGAUGUUUGCGAAAUCUAAGUUGUGGGUCAUCUUUAGAAACUUUUAUCUGCAUGAUGUUACACACGUGAUAGCUGUGUACAACCGGUUGGGUCCUUGACCUUUAGUUGUAGCCUGCAUAGUGCGAAUUAAUGUUUCCACUUUAGGUGAUACAUCAUUUGUUCAAGGAAAGUGAUCUUAACAUAUCCAAUUUAGAUCGAUCAUAAUUAUUGAAUCUAGUAAAUUUAGCCAGAAAAUAAUAAUCAGAUUUAACGAAUCUUUAUAUAUAUAUAUAUAUAUAUAUAUAUAUUGGUAUCAAAAUAAGUUAUAAUAUAUUUUCCCAUAUAGAAUGAAUGUUUCUACUUUAGGGUGUUCACCAUUUGUCGAAGUAACAUCAAAUUAUUAAUUUAUCUGAUUUAGAUAGAUUUGAAUUAUUAAUGAAGUUUCUUACUGCCUCUAGAUGUUCACUUAUAUUCUUUUUAAGUUACUUGGAAAUAAUUUAAUGCUCAAUUUUGAUUUAACUCAGGCUUGAAGAUGUAAGUAUGAUGAUCUGAUUAGUUAAUUAGUAACUUGAUUAAUAAUUAAGGCACAGGAGUUCCAUUGUGGUAUGUAUCUUCGUAGUGGUUGCAUGGAGCUUUCCUGAAGAAGAAAAAGUAGUUGUGUGGAAGAAUCAAACGGGAACAGUGGCCUAUUGCUUGUAAUAUUAGGCCUUUAAUUUUACGGAAAAUAGUUCUUGCACUAAAUGCAAAUGUUUUUGUGAACGGAUGAAUAUGAGAGCUUAUUAAUGUCUUAUGGAUGCAUUUGGAUUGUUUUUGACUAUAACCAAUAAAAGAGUAUAUUAUAAGUUUGUUGUUGUUAUGAAAAAUAACAAGUUCGAUUGAAAAAGAUUUCCAUUGAGGUCAUAGAAUUGUUAGUGUGCAUUAGCAAGAAAUGAUGACCCCUUAAUUAGCUAGCUUGUUAGAUUAAACUAGAGCUUCGAUCUGCAUUAGUGUUUUAAUUUUUUUUUCUUUUUUUGAGUUGUUGAAGAAUAGUUUAUAUAUAUAUAUAUAUAUAUAUAUAUAUAGAGUAUGGCUACUAUACUCUUAUGAGUAUAUAGAGCUCUUCGUACUCAUAAGUUGUUUUCGAUAUUGGCAUUUUCGAAUCGACGAUGUCAUUUUCGAAUCGACGAUCCACACCAUUAAACAUGAUCUAGAGUAUUUAAAACUUCUAGAAAAUAAAUUUCGUAAUUUUUCGAAAUUAUUAUAAAGUCCAUCAAGUAGGUAUAAAAUGAACGGUUAAAAUCGAACGACAUCCUAAAAAUGAAUGAUCGGAUUCUUUAAUUUAAGAUCGGAAUUAUUGAUCUUUAUUUAGGUAGUGAAUAGAAUUUUCUAUCAAAAAUUCAAUCUAUUCCGAUUCUUUUUCACCGUUAAACUAGCAAAUAUCUCAUAUCGGCCGUUUAAAAUUGUCAAGUUUGUGAACUUUUGAUCGUAAAGUAAAUGAUAUCGAAAAAUUAUAAAAUUUGAUUUUUAAAAAUUUUAAAUGCUCUAGAUAAUAUUUAACGGUAUGGAUCGUCGAUUCGGAAUCUUUAUCAUCGAGAACAAUUUAUGAGUACGAAAGCAAUCAUACUCAUAAGAGUAUAGUAGCCGAACUAUAUAUAUAUAUAUAUAUAUAUAUAUAUAUAUAUAUAUAUAUAUAUAGGCUGGGGCUACUAUACUCAUAUGAAUNAUAUAUGAAGCUUUUCACUAAUUAUGCUAGAUAUUUGAUGGGCCAAGUUUGAGAUCGUUAUUGCAGCAAUUUUGAAAGCAUCCACAUACUCACAUCUUUGUUACAAUAUUUUCUGAUAAACUUUUAGAAGAUUACAACUCUUAGAUUGUUAUUGUAGCAAUAUUUUCUUCUUAUUGUUAUUGGUGUCAAAUUACAACUCUUUGUGACCAAAUGAUGGAAAAGUAAUAUAUGGAAAAGGAAUAUAAAUUCUGCUUUAAUGUUUAUAUAUAUAUAUAUAUAUAUAUAUAUAUAUAUAUAUAUAUAUAUAAUUUGUCAAAUAUCUCGUUAUUAUUUUUUUAAUUGUUUAAUGAACAAAAAAAUUAGAUUAACCUUUCAAAAUCACAGUAAUUUGCAGGGACCACCGUGGGCUAGAAUAUGUACCAUGAAGAAUAACGUUGACAUGAGAAGAAACUCGGUCAAAUUUAGCAAUGGUUAAAAAACAAUACACAACCAUUUCCAAUACACACCAUAUACCUUCCCUUCUCUCAGUAAUAAUCAUGGGGUACAUCCCCAGGACCACUUAUGCUCUACCCCUUUAAAGAACCCAACACCCAUAAAGAAUCCACCACACAAACCAAUCCUUGUUUAACACAAACACACACACACACACACACACACACAUAGAGAGAGAGAGAGAGAGAGAGAGAGAGAGAGAGAGAGAAGAAAAGAUGGACACAGAGACAGAGAUGGUUUGUGAUGGAGGUGAUGGUAUUCAUCAAGAAGCAGCUGCAGUGGAAACAGCACCAUGCAACAGCUUAUAACUAGUACUUACAAUUACUACUACUUUGUUUUAGGAAGCCAAAAGCCANCUUAUUUCUCUCUUCUCCUCUCUCCCCUAUAACUCUUACUUGUACUUGGUCGGCCUGCAGCUCAGAGUCCUCCGUUCUUUGCUCUCGGCAUAGAGAGGGGGUCGAGCCGCCAUGAGCGAGCCGGAGACGCACGACUUCAUGAGCGUCAGCGUCGACUCCUUCUCCCAGCUCCCCUUCAUCCGGCCCACCCCCGCCCGCGACAAGCCCUCGAACGCGAACGCCUCCUCCUCCCCCACCGCCAUCCGCCUCUUCGGCUUCGACUUCCCCCACGACCCCAAUUCUUCCGCCGAGGAGCCCUCCAACGUCAAAGAAACCCCCACCUCCACAUCUAACACUAACAUGAGCAACAACAACAGCAACAGUAAUAAUAAUAAUAAUAAUAGUAACGCCGCGGGCGGUGGGGGCAGCAGCGACGGCACCGCAGGGCGGAAAUUCGAGUGCCACUACUGCUGCCGCAACUUCCCGACGUCGCAGGCGCUCGGCGGGCACCAGAACGCGCACAAGCGCGAGCGCCAGCACGCGAAGCGGGCUCACCUCCAGUCGGCGAUGGCCGCGCACCACCACCACGCCGCCAUGCUCGCCGAUGGAGGGGCCCACGUCUACGGCCUCAUCAACUACCACCGCCUCGGCUCCGUGCCCUCCGCCGCCCGCUUCGAGCCCCCGCCCCCGCCCCACUACCCUUCAUGGACCAGCUCAAACCCUAGCCUGAGCCCCGCCGGGGCCCGGUUCUACAGCGGAAUAGGAUCCAUGGCGCAGCCCAUCAAUGGCAACCCGCUUCCGGGGCUGUGGCGUGUGCCGAGCCACAGCGGCACCGCAAAUUUCAGCACCGCUUAUAGAGACCGGUCGGUGGCGGCGGGGCCGCUGCCGUUGUUCGGAGGAGACGAUUCGACGAAGGCGGCGGCAGGGGCGGCGGCAGCAGGAUGCGGCUCGUCCCCAUCUUCGUCAUCUUCGUCUUCUUCGACGUCGCAAGAGAGAGGUGGGUAUGGAUCCAGCGGUAAGGAUAGUGUGAGUUUGGAUCUGCAUUUGUAAUUCGGAGGGCUUCGUUUCGUCGAAUUAUUAUAACAAUUUUUUCAUCCUAUUUCCCAUCAUAGGGUCCUUUGAUGCAUGCGAAUGAAUUGCUCUAUAAAAAUUAUGACUAGUGGCGUUUUCCAUGGUUUCAGUAAAUCUCUUUAUUAAUAUUUAAGAUCAAAUUAGAGAUUCAGUUCCUUAGGAGCUCCUACCUUGUUCACUAAAACGUAAUUAAUAACAAUUUAUGCUAGUUUUAUUUGAUCGAUAAUUAAGUUAAUGCUCAAAGAUUUACUGUGCGCAUCAUACUCAUUUGGUUAUUUGAAAAAAAAAAAAGAAGUUGUAUUUGCAUUCAAAAAAGAAAAGUUGCAUAACUUAACAACUUUAAUAGAAGCUAUAUAUGAUACCUUUUAUAUAUAUAUAUAUUUUUCCCUUUUAUUCACCAAGAACACUAUUGGGGAUAACUCGUGAGAAUGCGCUUUAAUGAUGUGUAUACAUAGGUUUAGCACAAGUAAGAUAUUAUGUAAUUAGGCAUAAAUUGCGUACGUAAAUUUGUGAUGUUAUAUGCAAAGAUAUAUAUUGAAGCAAAUGAAGACAUAAUUUGUUUCGAUUGUGCAUCAUACAAGGUGUCAAGAAUACUAUGCAAAUCAAGCAGUGAUAGAACUGCGCAAAUGAAGUUGGAUGCAGAAUCAAUGAUAGGAAAAAUAUAGGACUAGUUUCAUACAAAUUUUAAUUAUUUUGAUGUAAUCUUUGGUACCAAUUUAAUUUAUGAAUAAAAGAUGUCUCAAGGCCAAAUAGUUCAUGGGUAUAUUAUGUUAUGAUCAAUCACCACUAGAAAGAUAUUCAGCUUAAUUCCAUAAUUGUAGAAUGAGACAAAGUUUCUAAGCUUGGAGAAAAAAGAGGAAUGAAACAAGAGAUGUAAAUUAAUGUCAUUUAAAUUUGGUGAGGUUUAAUGCACAUAUGCAACAUUGUUAACAUAAAACAUAGAGGAGGCAAAAAAUGAGAAUAAGUGUGCUUCAUACAACAACUUGUAAAAUAGGGUUGUUUCCCUGUUUAAUCAAAAAAAAAAAAGUGUGCUUCAUACAAAUUCAACUGAUCACAAUGGCACCAUGAAGAUUUUAGUCACAAUUAACCUUGUUCAAAAAAUCAGUCCUAAUUAAUAUAACAUCAGUGUUUGUUAUACCUCAUGGAUUUGAAUUUUCAUUUGCAUAAUUUAUUCAUAUUCUGUUCUCCAUGCAAUAAAAUCUUUUUGAGAUGACCUGAUCUUCUUACAUAUUAAUAAGGGGCAUUAAUUUUUUAUCUAUAUAUAUCCAUGGACAAAAUCUUGCAGAAGGAUAAAUUGAUCUUGCGAAUUUUUCUUGAAGAACAUAGUUUCAUAUUCAAAGAUAUAAUUGUUCAUUUUUUUUUCUCUUUUUGUUUUAGUUAUUUUAUGUUUGACAUGCAUGCUUUCAAAAUCCUACUUCAAGUUCUGUAGUUCCAGGUUCCCCCAACAAAUGUUGCGAGAAGAAUAAAUUGAUCUUGGUGAAUUUUCUUGAAGAAGGUAAUUUCACAUUUAAAGAUAUAAUUAUUCAAAAUUUUCUUAUUUUUUUUAAAUUAUUUAUGUUUGAUAUGAUUGCUUUAAAACACAACUUCAAGUUUUUUAGUUGCUAGUUUUCCCCAGUAAGAUACUGUUGUCCAUGCAAAGAGUAUUGCUUUAGUUCAUAUGAUAUGUAGCAAUGUAGAAUGUUUCCAUGCUCAUUUACUGCUCACUGGUUGAUUAAACAUCUUAUUUAACUAAUUUAGAUUCAAAACUGUGAUCAAUUUGUUUUGUUUCUGUAUAUAUAUAUAUACUAUAUAAUAUAUAUAUAUAUAUUUAUAGAGGAGAGAGAGAGAGGAGAGAGAGAGGAAGGAUGAGAGAGAGAGUUGAGCCUAGAAUACUAUCGAUAGCAAAUUGGCACCUUUGCCACCCAUUUGUUUUCGAUGAUGAAGCCUCCAAAUCGCAUGAUCGGCACCGCUGAACAUGAUCUAUACCAUUUGAAGUAUUUAGAAAAUCAAAUUUCAUACAUUUUCGAUAUUGUUCUCUUAUCCAUCGAGUGAGACACAAAAUGAAACCUGAAAAUGAAUAUUUUUAUAAAAAUGAUGAUAGAAGUCUUGUAUCAAGAUCAAGAGUAUAGAUCUUGUUUUAACAGUUCUAAAAAAUUUUCUAAAAAAAUUUAAUGAUUUGGAUAUCUUUACGCUAACCGUUUAAACGAGAAAACGCCUCAUAUCGACCAUUUAGAAUUACAAAUUUGAAACCCGAUUAUUUAGGCCAAAUGAUGUCGAAAAGAUUUGAAUUUAAUUUCUAAAACAAUUCAAGUGGUAUAGUAUAUGUUCAACGGUGCUGAUCGUCGAUUUGGAGGCUCCAUCAUCGAAAACAAAUGGUGGCAAAGUGCGGUUGCUAUCGAUAGUAUUUCUUUAUAGCUCACUUAUAUAUAAUAAUAUAUAUAUAUAUAUAUAUAUAUAUAUAUAUAUAUAUAUAUAUAUAUAUAUAUAUAUAUAUAUAUGUGAUUAUUCUGAUGUGGAGUUGGUGCAAAAUAAUUAAACCCAGUACAUUUGCCAACUAAAAUUAAAAUAAGCUUGUAAUGUGGUUUAGAAAUUAGCAAACUACAUAUGCCAGGAUGAGCUCUAGCCUUUCAUUGGCCGAGUUUUGUGUCGUAGAUAAGCAUUUAUUAGAUCCUUAAUUAUAUUGAUUCAGACGAGUGCAUAGACAUAAAAUUAAUGCAUCCUUAGGCUUAAUAAAUAGGUAAAAAUAUAUAGAAAUUCAUCUGAACUAUCGCUCAUUUUGAUCUUACUACCUCUCCUUUAAAAAUUUUGAUUUUACUGUUUAACCUAUUAGUUUAUUCGAUUUGAAUCAUUUAAUGUUUCUUCAACUUCAAAUUUUAUAUGUUUUCUAUCCUUACGAGCUUAAGUAGUAUAUUUUACAUAAUUCUUGUGACUAUAAAUCCAUUAAAUUAAGCAAAAAGACUAAAUUUUAUACCAUAAAAUGAUAUAAAUCAGACAAAUUGAAAAAUUGGAUAGUAAAAUUAUAAUUUUAAAAGAUUGGAUAAUUAAAUAAAAACGGGUCAUAGUUCAGAUGAGUUCUAUACAUUUUUAUAGCUUAAUAUUCCGGCAUCUUGAUUAAUUCCAAGUAGUAUGAUGAAUAAAGUUUGCGAGAAGUGUUUUUUUUUUUUUUUUGAGAGAGAGAAAGGUAGCAUGCUAUCCAUUUAAUUUAUUUUUUUAAAAAAUAAACUUAGUUAGAAAUGUGAAUCAAUUAAAAUUUGAACUUAGAAUUUCGAAUACCAACCAUCAAACCCUUUACCACUUACGCCAGGAACAGUCGGUGUUUGCGAGAAGUGUUAAUAUGACUAGUUCGCACGUGUGGAGCCAAUAAUAUUGUUGUGAUUCACAUGAGAGGCUUUGAAAUGUUAGGCGCAAAAUUUAUUGAGAUUCAUAUUAAUUCUUUUUUUUUUGGGCUCCAGUAUCGUGAAUAUCUAGUGUUUUAUUUGGAAAUGUCGAUAAAAUGACUGGUUCGCACGUAUGGAGCCAACAAUAUUGUUGUGUUCACAUGAGAGACUUUGAAAUGUUAGGCGCAAAAUUUAUUGAGAUUAAUAUUAAGUCAUAUAUUUUUUGGGCCCCAGUAUCAUGAAUAUGUAGUGUUUUAUUUGGAUUUAUAUGUUGGGCUUGCUCACCUAAUCAAUGUGCUCUAUUUAUUGUUAUGUGUACCAUUUGCACUUUAACUCGUGUCUCAUUUGUCCCGUACACAAAUCACAGCAAUUCCAACCCCUGCAUUUUAUCUAAAUCACAAAUUAGACCCCAAACAUAAAUUUCAAGCAUAAGCAAUGUUGGCCGUACAUAUAGAAAUAUACUAUGUAUAAAUCUUACACCUAGGUAUCCUAUGGCUAGGAUUCAUCCACUAAUCUUAUUUUUAUAUUUAUUUUACCAUAAAUCUAAAAAAAUUUUCUAAACCUUACGAUGUAAGGGUGUAAGAUGCACAACCCUAUCUGGUGUGUACUACAUAUAGAUUUUUCUUUCAAAAUUACCUAAAAGAUUGAUGUAAUUAAUAAGAAACAAAAUAGUCUUGAUUAUUAACUAAUAUCCUGCUUGCAUGCAUGAUAGAGAUUAAGUAAAUUACAUAUAUCAUAUGCACUGGCCGUAAAGAUGAGAAAAGAAACAAUUAACAAACCAAUAACUGUGUAAUCAAAUCAUGGAUAUAUAUAGAAGUAAAACUCAUGACCCUUUGAAACAAAUAUAUAUAUAUAUAUAUAUAUAUAUAUAUAUAUAUAUAUAUAUAUAUAUAUAUAUAUAUAUAUGUGACUAAAAAAAUUAUUUCAAUAAAUAACAAUUUAGAAAGAGUCUUAACAAUGUCAAAAAUCGUGAGAAAAGUGCUCUAACUAAAGAUUAACCACCUCCAUAUGUAACCGGUGUUUAUUCUCAGGAACUAUAUAAUUAGCGUUAUAAGUUCACAUAUGAAUAAUCCAAUAUCAGAUAAUUAGUAAAAGAGUAAAAAGUGGAUAUAUCUUAUAAGCUUUUAGGAUGAAUGUGUUCUAUUAAAUAUGUCACAUUCUUAGACUUAUGUGGACCUGAGUUGGGACUAAAUUAAACUACCUAACACUUAAAAUUGAAGGCGAUAGAGCAGGUUAUUUUUCAUUUCUCAGCAAGGCAACAAAAAAGGGCCAGGUGACAAAACUGAUCCUUGCAGCUUACUCAUUAUGUCCCCAGAUAGCUACACAUCAUUGAAUGAUCCCUAACGCGACCUCUAAAUACGGGCUCUGUCCCUAACACUGCCUCUCCCCAGUUCCUCUUUGCAACUCUGCCCCAGUUUAAUUUGCAGAACACAUAAAAUCCCAUCACAACUAUAUAUAUGGCUUAUAAUAUAUAAUAGAGAUGAUCACCACCUCUCUCUCUCUCUCUCUCUCUCUCUCUCUCUCUAAGUUGCAUGUGCCAGCUUUAAGUUCUGGGAAUGAGCAAAUGCAUGCAUGUGGAAUAAAAAAGAAAGAUGCAUGUACUUCAGUUGACAUGCAGAAAAUUCCAGGGGAGAGUAUGCUAUAUAUAUAUAUAUAUAUAUAUGUAACCAUGAAGUUUAAUUAUUUCUAGGGGAACGUUUCCGUGUCUAUGUUGUGAGAGCAUCAAAAAGGACAAUCAUUUCCACAACCGCGGAGCCAAAAAAAAAUCCUCUAUAGACUAUAUAUAUAACAAUCAUAUCAUAUUAUCCUAAAUUAAUUCUAUUAAUUGCACCAUAUAAGGUGAUGGAAAGGUACAAUCAGAGUAACAUCGAUCGUAAUUUUAUAUUGAAAUAACCUCUCUUUUAAAAAAAAAAAAAAAAGCUCUUAUAGUUGUGUGCAAUAUGAAGAUCUUUAAUUGAAUGUCUUUGAUCGAAUGUUUCUAUUCCUGCAUAGAAUAACUGAGACAGAGAAGAGACUUUUCGUCGAAAGCUGGUUAGUACUUUGAAUGACCCAUGAUCAAUAAGAAGGUGAUUCAAUCUGCAGGAAUUGAGAACAAUUCAAUCAAAUACUGAAAUCUAGAAUAAAAUCUUGACUAAUUACGAAAGGUGCACGCAAUUCAGCUCGUAUCAAUUACCAUUUAUCCCAUCUAAAAAUUUGCAACUGCUUCAACUCUACAAUUUUCACCUAGAUGGAUAGGCUCAAAAGAUAGAUCAACAAGCGGAAAAUGGACAUUUUGUUAGCCAAUUUAUUCAAUUUAUAUCAUUCUAGCUAUUCCAUUAAAUAUAGCAAUAUUAUCCACCAACUUAAUUAUUGUUGUAAAGUUUUGAAUAUAAAUCAACUACCAUCCUAAGCCUUUGGUUCUAUUAAAAGUAACACAGACGAAGUGUGAGAAAUUUUUCUGUAAUUUAACCCAGUUUAAGUAUAUCUAUGUAUAUAUAUAAAUGAACCAAAACAAAAGGUUUUAACAUACGUAUAAUUAAUACUAGAUUUUGUUUCCUUCUCCGUCCCAUUUGGACUAUUCUCACGCAUUGAUCCAACAUUUAUGAUUGUAUUGUUAGUGUUGUGAUCGUUUUCUUCAAAUAAAUUUUCAUGGUUGUAGUUGCAAUGUGGGCAUCUGCCUCUAAUUAAGAUCAACUACUAGCAGUUCUCCAGUGAAGGCUACACCUCGAUUGAUGGAAAAUGAUUUCCUCUCAACCCUGUUUGGUUGAUCUAGUACUCAAUCAAUCAAUACAUGGUGGUAAAAGCAUGUUAUCCUAAGAUCUAGCUUCAUGGUAGUGUUCUAAGUAUACUUUGUUUAGCUUCGCAGACUCGAAAUUUAGAUGCUAAAUUUAAAAUUAGACUCAUCAAAUAUACUUUCAAGCUAGAUGUGUAUUGAGGUACUCCUAGCAUUGCUCCUUUUUUUGGACAAUAAAGGGGGGGUGAAAAUCCAAAUUAUUGAUUUUAGUAAUUACAUCCUCUAAAUAAUAAGCCCAUACAAGAACACAUUUGCUAAGUAAUCUUUAAUCUAUGCUCUACUGCUUCUUUAAUUUCGAGCGAUCUAGACUUAGUUUGGUACUGUAGUGCCAAAACUAACCGUUUUUAUAUUUUGAAAGGUUCAGAAAAUUCAAAACUACUUCAAAUUUUUCUUACUCUAACGCUAUAAAACUAUAGGAGAAUCACCGCCGGAAAAGCAAAUAGUUAUAUGCUUCUCUGGUGGCAAUUCCUAUCACAAUUUUAUAAUAUUGAAAGAAGAAAAUUUGAAAAUGCUUUUUGGAUUUUUAGGCCCUUUAAAGUACAAAAUUAGUGCUUUUGGCACCACAAUCCCAAAUUAGCUAGGCUUCUAUCUACUGCUUUCUUCCCUUCUUGAUAGAUACGAGUCAGUUGAAAACUUCAUAAUUUCUUUGUAAGGUACCAAAAUCCAUUAACAAAUGUAAAAGAAUCAUUUUCAAAUUCCCCUUUCAACCAAAUUCUGUACACCCUCCAUGUUCCUGGAUAGCAGAAUACAAAGUGUGCCAUGCUACCUAGCUUAGCGGGUGUUAUCUGGAAUGUCUACUAAGAAGGUUAGAAGUUCGAUUUCCCAUUUGGUCAUUUAUUAGAUGAGACUAGAGCAUCCUACUUCUUGGGUGGGAGGGGGGAAAAAAACUCUAGUUGUAUCUAAGGGGUUUGGGCAAGCUUUGCUGUAUAUUGUUUUACUCAUUUGAAGAUUACAAAGGUUUUAGAAUGGCAUGGUCUGCUUGAUUAUCUGGAGUGGCUUAAGCUUUUAGACAGCUGAAACUUCUCAACUACUAACUAAUAUGCAUAUGAAAUCAUCCCUUGUUUAAGUUUCCACACACAAAAAACAAAAAUCCAGUGCUUAAGUUUCGACUCGUAAAUUAUUAUCUAAGCGAAAUUCAUAUUUUUCAUUCAAUUACAGCCAAGCCUAGUUUUUUUUAUUACCGGACAAAUCCAUAAAAUGAGAAGGACAAGUGUAUUCUUAAUUGGUAUCCAAGGUCCUAAGUUUUAAAACCUAAUUGCUUCAAAUUUUGGAUAGCUUACUAUCUUUUUCCUAAAAAAGAAAAGAAAAGAAAAGAAAAGUACUUUUAUAUACCCAGGCCCAUAAAAUGAAAAGUUUUUUAUGGGCUUGUCCAACCAUAUUGGGGAAUGGACAUAACCCCUUAUUCAUGACAAAUUAUUGCUUGGACUUGAUUUUUCAGGCUAGCCAAGAACAGACCCAUACCCUAGAGGAUUUAAAUCUUAACACAAAUCAUUAAAUGUAAUUUACAUAUGGAUGUGUGCAAUCCAUUCAUUAACGAUCGAACUUCAGUGAUUGACGAGAAGCUAGUUAAAAUGGACAAACAUCUGCAGUAAAUUCAAAAGGACAUCUGGAGACUAAAUAUCUUAUAUCUGUUUCACCUAAACCAAAGGAUUUGAUAGUCUCAGUAAGGGGAGAAUAAAAAAAGCAACAACAACAAUAACAACCAAAGAUUUGUUUCGAAGAGCCAAGCUCAGUUGAAUAAAACAAGACAGUUACAGCAGGACCUGAUGAAAACAGAAGCAGAACAAAUUAGAUUUGAAGGCACAGUUUGGAACUACUUCACACACACAAACUUACGGUGUUCGACAAGAAUCCAAAAGCACUUUUAACUCAAGUGCUUCCAUAAUCGUACUAUGUUCGACGACCCAGUCAGUGCAAUCAGGCACAUAAAAUGGGUGAAGUUCAAAAGCUUUUGCAUUUCUGUUCCCAAACUAAUCAUACUACGAUAUCUUGCUAACUCACUUCUACAAAAUCUAACCCUCCAGAGUCUGUUUGUCCGAGCUAGAGCUUUUGCAAAACUGCCGAGUUGUUUUAAGGAUGACUGUUUAAAAAGGAACCAACAACUGUUCUGAAAAAGUUUCUGAAAAGACUUCUGCCACAAUAAGAGGCAGAAAUCUUAAACUAAAACUUCUGCUUGGGCAGAAAUCUCAGGAAUCGGAAACCUGUUAUUUGUCAGACACUUCGGAAUAUAGAAUCUGUUUCCAAAACUAAGGCUGCAAAAGCAGUUUUAAAUCUCUCAAAAAAUGUUAUUAAUCCUUGAAGAGCAUGUUGUACAACACCACAAUGAAAAGGAACCAAGAUCAUGAUCCUGGAGGAGACUACUAGUGUGAGUAUCAGCAUUUUCAACUUCCAUAUUAAUUUCAGAACACGCAAGCAACCGACAUUUCGUCACAAAGCUAUAAAUUCAUGAAGCUCACCAAAGUUAAAAGAUAAAACUGGAAAGCCUCUAACUUUGACAUUUAUACGUGCAUACGCACGAAUAGUCGGUCCUCUUACCAUUGGCGACACAGACUCCGUUGCCGUUAGUCUGUUGAAAGCACCGCCGUCUGCACAAGGAAAGGUUGCAGCCGCCGGGCGCGAGAGUUGCCUGGCAUGUCGCCGCUUCAGCUUUCGGCACCAGUACUUGUACUGCCAAUGUUUGCAUACAGUGUUGGCAUUUCAACAAACACAUAGUGCUAUAUACCAUGAUACACAAACAUUACACCUAGAGCUCUUCUAUCCACCAAGUUGGGAUCUUAACACCACAAACAAGCAUUGUUCUCUUAUAAUAACAGAAAAUUCUAAGGAGAUAUGCAUGGUAAGGAUUUCAAGGGAACUGUUGGAGAAGUUUGGGCUAAUCAAGUUAAUAUAUUAAAAAAAAAAAAACCAAUUAGAGUAACAACUUUUUGAAAUUGUUAUUGAUGAAAAAAAAAAAGGCAUUGAAAUGGAGUGGUGGAAAAAAGGAGAGGUUGGGGAGUACCUGAAGAAUAGAUGAGGAGGAGGGAACAGAGAAGGGAAGCAGUGCAGGUUAGAGUAGUAGCCAUCAUCUUAAUAUAAGAGAAUGCUCACAAAACAAAUCUAUUUGCUUGUUACUAUGCUGGGCUAUUUGGGCCCAUCUUAGCCCAAUACAAUUGUGGGCUUGAAAAAAGCCUUGAGCCCAUUUUUGGCCUACUCUUUUUUGGCUUUCUUAUGCUAGUGGUGUGUACUGUUGUCUUAUGUCACCCUCUGUUUCCUGGCCAUGCCUCUGCUUCUUAGACAGAGAAGCGUCUAAAAGUAAUUGAAUUUAAAGUGUUCGUCGGCUGUGGUAUUUUCAACUGCAUUUAUUUAUGAUCUAAUAUUGAAGAAUCAAAUAAAUUUACAGCUUCUUCCGCAACAAAAGGCAGAUGCAUGAUUUUGAAGCCCAAAAGACCAGCUUAAUUUAUAGCUUUUGAUUCCAAUAUGGAGAAAACUAAUAUAAAACACGCAAAAGCAAAAAUAGAGGUUUGCUGCUUUCGGCCAAAAUUAAUUAUAGUGCUUUUGCUAACAACAGAUUAAAGAUAACACUCAUCAAACAACACGUUACCCCGCAGUAGAUUGAACGGGCCCUAAGAACGUUUGACUCCAUCUCUAAGUCAGAUUAGUGCUUAUUUUUCUCUUCAAAGAAGCUUAUCCCAUUUGGAAAUUUCGUGGGACCUCUCAGAUUGCUUGCGAUUGAGGCGGCUUAGUUUCAUUGACUUUUCGCAAUCCCAAAUUUCUAGACGCUUAACAUCAUAUCAUCACCAAUCAUUUCUAAAGCAAGUAAAAAAAAGACUCAAAGGUCGGUACUAAAACAUUCUCGAAUUCGAAAUUUAAUUACUUCGCAUUUUCAGCUAAGCGCAAUAUACGAAAAAAAAAAAAAAAAANCGUGCUACCUUUCUCUCUCAAAAAAAAAAAAAAAAAAACAACUUAUGUGUUGAAAUUUUGGGACUAUAUAUCCUUUAUGUUGCAAAUUAAAGGCCCCAGCAAGAUGGAUGAAUAAAAAAAAAAAAAAAACACGAAGUAUUGCACACAAAUGGUAUGGUUUAAAAUCUCACAUUCCAAUACAAAUCAAGUUGCACACAAAUCAUAUUACAAAUCCAAAUCAAGUACAUAUGAAACAAUCAAAGAAUACAUAUAUAUAUAUAUAUAAAAUCCCCUCAUCUAAAACCUAAGAAAAGCCAAACAAACUCAAUCCUCCUUCCUCUCCGAGGGCUUGACCUGCGGCGACAGCUCGCCACCGGGCGGCAAGUCGGAGAGGACCGCGAGCAUGCGGCGCAAGCUCACCGACCGGCUCGGGCGGAAACUAUGCGAUCUCUCGGUCGCGGAGAAGAUGUUCGAGGAAUUGGACAGGACUAGGAAAACCAAAGCCUGGACCAAGAUGAACAUGCUCACCUUCACUAAGAUGUCGCUCCAAUCACCAUCUAAAGCCAUGAACAAAGCCAUUGUUGAUCGGUGUUAGGGAAUAUAAGGAGUAUAAUUAAAGAGUUGGUGUGUGAUAUGAUGAAGUAAUAAUGAGGGAGGGGCUUCUUAUAUAUGUUUGCAGGAUGGGUUUUAUUUGUUCUAAUUAAGCCAUCUCUUUGACCACAGGCGUAGUUACGUAGAGAAGGUUCUUGGGCAGUUUCUUGUGGUUGAAUUAAUUAAUUAAUAGCCUAUAUGACUGGGUCCUAAUUUGACAUGUAAUAUGUACCAGAAACAUUUUGCACGUUUGGGAAUUAGUCUUUUAUUUAAUUCUUUUUAUUCUUUCUCUUUCUCUUUGCGCACAUCGAGCGAAACUAAUUAAUAGGGUCGAUAUUAAAAAUAAUUAUUUUAAAAAGUGUUAAAGAUUUUUUUUAUUUAUAAUUUUUUCAGUAGUUUUUCAGAGACUCGAUCAGACACUUACUUUGAAAAAUCAAACUGAAUAAGCAAUUUUUUUUAUUUUUUUUUUCCUUUAGAAUGAAAAAUCGUGAAACUCAUGAAAUCCAGUAAGUUGGCUCUCUUUUUCUUUUUUUUUUUUUGCAGGUGUGUGUUCAUAAUAUAAUAAAAUAUAUUUUAAACGAUGAUUUAUUCUAACGUCUUUAAUAUUUUACAUGUGUUGACACCAUGAAUAAGCGUCGUCAAUAAACAUAUUUUUAUCAAAUACGGAUUAAAGUUUUUUACGCUAUAUUAAAGCGUCGAUAUAUUUAUCCCGAUAUAUUUACUUAAUGACUUUUUGUUCGAUACUUUUAUAAUUGUCAGAAUUAUUUUUUAAAGCGUUGCUAGUUAUUAUUUAAAAUGUGACAUUAUUUAUAGCAUUUUCAUCCUACAUUGAUUUCUUAUCUAAGUUUUCACUACCAUGUGAGAGGAAAGUUCAAUGUCCAAUACCAAAGGUUGAGUUCCAGAUGCUUAAAAGCAUUUUGCAGACGCAUCUUAUUACGUGGCUACAACGUGGCCCUCGACUUUGCUGUCACGCAAAAGAAGUUUGGUUAUAUAACUUUUUGUUUAAUUAUUCUCAUAUAUUGCUCAUGUAUGUGCACGGAUAGUAUAAAUAAUUUUAAUUAGUGUAAACACAUUGUGUAAAAUUAUUUAUAUAAAUUUAUCAGCACAUUAAGAGGCUAGUUGAUUGGAUAUAAUUAAAAAUAUAAUUUAUUUGGAGAUAUACGAAAAUAUAGCCGUUAUAACUAUAUCAUCGUGUUUACUUGAGUAUAACUAAAAACGAUGAAAUUGUAAACAAUUUGUCUUGAUUGCAUGUAGAUAAGAAAUGCAUUCUAAAAAAUUUUUCAAUUUAUAUAUGUAAUAGUGAGAUUUUUCGCUUAAAAAGUGAUUAAGAAGGUAAACUUAUAUUUUAUUUAAAGUUGUUCUCCCAAACUGCUAUAAUUAAAAUUACGAAUAAUUUGGACGUAGUCCUAACUAUUACAAUUGAAUCUCUUUCUACAAUUCCAACUAUAACAGACGAGUUCAAAUAUAUCAAACUAAAUAUUAAAUUUAAAUUCUAUAAAUUAUUAUAAUUAUAUAUUAUAGUUAUAACUAGAUAUAGUCAUGCAAAUAUCUCCUCCUAAUGUGAAAGAGCGGAAUUAUUAUUUAGUGAUAUGAUUUGGAUAUCUUUGCUUCUUUGACCAAUAGGAUGGUACGAAGUAGGAUCUUGAUAAGAUCCCCAACGUGGAGUCCAUGGCUUCUGACUAGGACCAACAACUUUGUAAUAAAGCACGAUGUAAAUUGGCCAAAUCAUGGUGCCGUUUUGAGCUUUUUUUUUAUUUAAUAGCAUGCUAACCGUUUCAUUUAUUUAGCAAAUAAAUUUAGUUAUAUGAGUUGAGACAACGCGGUUUCGAAAAAUAUUCAAGACAAUCAAAACAAAAAAAGAUAAAUAAAAAUAAAAAAAAUUAUAAAAAAUUUGAUAAUUCUAUUCCUCACUCAAAUUUACAUCACUAAGACAAAUAAAAGGACAAAAAAUUGCUGUGCUUUAGGCUCUUUAUGACACUACAAAAUUUGAUAGAUCCUUAAGCUGUUUGACGACAAAUUAAAAAUAAUAUUCUAGUAAUUUGUAUAUUAAAGUUAUGCUAAGCAAAUAAAUUUGUAAUGGUCUCCAAUGAACAACUUGGAACGAAGCAGAACACUAGUCGGAUUCAUCAAAAAUUUAAUCUUAAUUGCCAUGAUCGUUUGUUUUAUAUUUUACAUUUAAAUGGUAACGUCAAAAAAUUAUAGCUUGCAUUUUUCAUUUUCUUUUCAUUCUAUGUCCUUAUCGGAUGUUCUUGAUAGGCUCAAGCUCUUUUCUACAGCCUAUCAAAAGUCAAAAGUCAAAAGGUUAAAAUGUAUGGUGACCCCCACAGCUAUGAAUGCAACUUGGAUAAAGAGCUAAUCAAUGAAUUCUCGUUAGGACAAAUUAGUAAAAUUAGUAAAUCAUAUGAUUUACCCGUGUCCGAAUAUUAAAAGUUGAGUCUAUUCUAGGUGAAUUUUAAAGAGGCCAAAUAAAUUUAAAUGAGAAAGUUUCGCUCAACUAUAGGACAUACAAGAAACAGAUAUUCUUUUAAAGUUCCAAUUCAUUUGUAAAAUUUUUCUGCGCUUGCCCCACAGAUGUAUUGGAAAUGAUACCUUGGGACGGAUGUAAAGCCAAGCAAAUAGCUUCCGCGCCAAGAACCGAGGACUGUGUAGGUUGUAAGAGAUGUGAAUCCGCCUGCCCAACAGAUUUUUUGAGUGUCCGUGUUUAUUUAGGGCCUGAAACAACUCGCAGCAUGGCUCUAUCUUAUUGAUACGUUACAAAAAACUCCACUUGAAUAAUUUGUGAUUCCUUAUAAACAGAUUGAUUUAAAAAAUAUAUUGAUUGUUUUUAAUAAACCACUGCUUUGUCUGGUGUCUACAAUAUUACAAUAUAUAAUAUAUGAUUCAUUUACUACUAACUUGAUUUGACCAGAUCGAAAAUUUUUUAUGUUCAAAAGUGGAAUUUAUAGAUCCAAUGUCACAUUCAGUAAAAAUUUAUGAUACAUGUGUAGGGUGUACUCAAUGUAUACGAGCUUGCCCCACAGAUGUAUUGGAAAUGAUACCUUGGGGGACGGAUGUAAAGCCAAGCAAAUAGCUUCCGCGCCAAGAACCGAGGACUGUAGGUUGUAAGAGAUGUGAAUCCGCCUGCCCAACAGAUUUUUUGAGUGUCCGUGUUUAUUUAGGGCCUGAAACAACUCGCAGCAUGGCUCUAUCUUAUUGAUACGUUACAAAAAACUCCACUUGAAUCAUUUAUGAUUUCUCAUAAACAAAUUGAUUUAAGAAAUAUGUUAAUUAUUUUAAAUAAACCACUGCUUCCUGGUAUAAGCAGCCAUAUAUUUUUAUCAAACAAAAUUAUAAAAAUUUUAAGUUUAAUCUAAAAUUUAAAUUUAGAAAAAUGGUAGGAAGUUUAAAUGAGUUUCAAUUUGAUAAUUUGAAAAAAAAAAAUUAAUUUAACAAAUUGGUAGGGGCCGCGCGGACGCGUACCCCUGCUGUCACAAAUUACGACGUCCACUCUCCCACUUGGGGAGAAGGUAGACCAGCGCACCCACCGCGUGCAAUGUGGACCGCUGAUCUAGGCCAUAGGCCUUCCUGACCGCCCAUCGACCCCGCCCAGGUAAGUAUGGUCAAACAUUCUCCGCCCUUUCUCUCUUAUACACCUCCUCCGCAUCUGGUGGAACUCUGCUGAGCGAUGUGGGACUAAAGAACUCUCAAGUGAUUCGCUCGUGCAUUCAUUUACUUCCUUCCUAUUUGGCGACGCAUUGCCACGUCCCAAAAUUUGUUACCAACUCUUUAAAUUUAAAUUUUUAGCCUAAUGUAGUGUUACUGCCUUUCUUUUAUUUUUUUCAAUAAAAAUCUUCUUUUAUACAAUAGUAAAAAAUAGAAUGAUUAACAUUUGUUUAGCGACAAAAAAUAAUAAUUUGAAUACAACUUUCUUUUAUUUUUUUUAAAUAAAAAAGUUGUCAUUUAUUACUUUGACCAAGAAAUAUUGCAAACUAGCCAAUUACAAGAAAAAAUCCUCUUCCUUAAAUAUCCAAUCAUAUAAAAACAAUAUUUAGAAAACAAAAUAAAAGUAUAAUGCAAGGCUUUUUGAUGAAAAUGACCAGAGUUUCAGGAUGAAACAAAGAAGGACUCAAAAUAAUAAUAAUAAUAAUAAUAAUAAUAAUAAUAUUAAUUUAAAGCUGCCUCCUCUGCAUUCAUCAAGUUGCUAGAAGACUAAAAAAUGAAAGUAAACUACAAUAGUUUCUCAAAUUCUUCGCACCAGCAAGACAAAUCAUUCUCAAGAACUCCAUCUGGGGCGAUUUUAAAAGCGAAGCGAAAUCAACACAGAGGAAAAGAAAAUCGCAUAUAAUUUAUUGCUUAGAAAUAGGUUUGAUCAAUGUACACAAGCUUGUAAAAAAAUUAUUCUAAAAGCUUCUGCUUUAGGUCUGUGCAAGAGAACAAAGUGCCGAAGCCUCAGAUACAGAACUACUCUAACUCGUCAGGAUGUUAUAUAUUGCAUGUAGUAGUGAUCCGAAACAGUUCACGAGUCCUCUUCUCAGAGCUGCUACAGCAAGAGCCACGUCGCAUCAACUGUGGAAACAAAUGCGAAACAAUCGAGUAAAAUAACAUUGCAAGAAAUGAAAGGCUAAAGAAUGUCUAGAGAAAGCAGUAAGUUGAACAGAGGAAUGUCAAAGAAGAACCAUCAGUUUGUAAGGCCUCAGAAGUCGGGGUUGAUCUCAGCACAAGCACAUAUUCAGAAAAGAUGGCCUACAUCCGCUUUUUUACUUUCCCUCCAAAAAAUUAUAAAAAGGACUUGAGUUUUCCAACUUGAUUACUUUUUUCUAAUAGGUUCUCUCUAGUAGUGCUAGUGCACAUGAAAGUGUUAAACGCAAAAUUAUCAUGUGUACACUAACCAGAGUUGCUCAUCAAGGAGCUUUAAAACUAGAAUAUUAUUAUUAAUAUUAUUUAGCAUGAAUGUAUUGAAGUGUCACUAUUCUAGAUACGCAUGAAAGGAGAUGUACAGAGCAUGCAUGAUAUAUACUGUGCUUGUCAUGCAAAUAGAAGAUUCUAAUGGUUAAUAUAAGUUUAUUACAUCUACUAUUACAACAGUUUUAUAGGACUACAAAAGAGCAUAAAGCCAUAAACUAAGUCACAGAAAAAUGUGUGAUCAUGACAUAUUGCGAGUUAACUAGUUUUCAUAUAGUCGAGGGCGUUUAAUGAACUUUUCGAAAAGAAAAUUAUCUCAAGUAGGAAAGAAUAUAAUGAAUAACACAUGAAAAAGAUGCUCAGAAAUACAUAUCUUGAUUAUAUACUACAUGCAUAAACAUAGUACUCGGCAAAGAAAGCACAUAGAAAAAUCAUAGAAUAGAAUUAGAAGAGGAAGAAAUAGAAAAGAACACUGUAUCUUAUGAUAAUAAAUUUUGGAGACUUCAACACAGUGGAGCAGAACUACGUUAUGCGUUCUUGUAAUCUAUUAAAUCAAUUAUUUUGCUCAAAGCGUUAAAUUGAGAGUAAUGGGUGGUUAUGCUUGUUAUUGCAAGUGUGUGAACGUGAAUCAUGUGCUUAUGAGGAAAACCCAAAACAAGGGUGCAAGUUAAGAUAUGAGACCCACCAAAUGCAACAAUACUGACAAGUUAAAGAAACUGAUGGUUUAGUGAAUCUACUUGCAUUUUUCAGCCAACAUUUCAAAAGACUUCUGAGCAGUUGCAGAGGUUUCUAGAAUGUUUGCAUGCAGUCCAAAGAAAGCAAGAAAAGUAAUUCUUAUUAUUUGGAAAAAAAAAUGUCUAUUAUCGACUGCAUUAUUACAUUAACUAUAAAUAUCAUUGUUAGGCAAAUCAUGAAAAAGGCAGCACUGGGACCAAUAUAAGACAGACAAAAUUUACUCCAGGAUCAGGGUUCUUUUAGAUGUCUUGAGUCUGUAAAUACAGGUUAUCCCAUUUGAUGAACUGUGUAUUAUUAACUAUAUAACUGUAUUUUUUGUGGAAUCAGCGUACUUUUGUUAUUGAUCCUCUUUCACUUCUUUUCUUCAGUCACUAUCCACCUUAUAUUUCAUCUUAAUUUUGAAUUUAAAAUUUGAGAUCGAGAAGUAAUGUUGCCUAAGCAAAUAGAACUCUAACCUGGCAUACAAUGGUCCUGAAUCUCUUGGUGCUUACAUUUUCACAUAGUAGGAUAAGAAAAUCUUAAGAAGACUUAAAGGUCAUUAUCGUCCAACCAGCAGGAGUACGAAUGUCAAACUAUAUCCAAACAACUGACUAAGAUAUUAGGCUUUCUUUUCCCUCUCGUCGCUUUUGAAGAGUCCAGCCACCAAAUAUACAUUAUCCUUUAGGCCUAAUCUAUUGUCCUUAUUAUCAUUCCUACACAGUCCUUGCUAUCAUAGCUACACGGCUUUUCCACAAAUAAGAAGAAAUGAUAAUCUAACAACAUAUACCACGAAAGAUAAUCCUACAUAAACAAGACUAACACCUGAAUGUUUGGUCCACAGAAUUGUCUAAGGUUCAGCAAACUUGGAAAAGGACAGCGUGAAGUUUCUCCAAACAGAGAAAAGCUACACAGGACUUCAGCAUGUCUCCUAGUUCUGUUUACAACCGGAUUUACUGUACCUAGAAAUCACACUCAAUUUCAUAGAGAAUAAAAUGGUUGCACAGCUAUUCAUAAAAGACUAUUUAGCCAUACAACUAUGCACCUCUAAUAACUGAAUUGUGCUUUAGAUGCAACUAAUGGCGAUGAUAAUGAUAUAAUUGACGGCAAUACGCAAUCAACGAUACCACAAAGAGGCAUAAACCACUCAGAAACCUGACAGAAAAAUUAGGAAAUUCUAGCAUAAAGUGGAUGUUUCCCAACUAGUUUGCACUUCUCCCCUUUUAUUUGAAAAAAGAUAUUUUUAGUAGAUAAUAAAUAUGUCUAAAAAAAAACUCUCUACAUCUUUCUAGAGGAAAUGGCACUAAAUGCCAAAAUGACAGGAAACCACCACUACCCGAAUGUACAAAAGAAACAACCUUACUAUUUAGACAAACAAGAAAAGGCUGUGUGGUUCCUGGCAUGUUAAAUUCUCAAGGAAACACACUUAGAUGACAGUAUGGCACCUAAAAACAUAUCACAAAACUCCUUAACUGAUAUGAAGCCAUCAAAACAAACACCUAAAAGACCUAUUAGCUCUUCAUUGAGUCUGCUAGUCUUUCAAAUCUGUUUGAACAAAGGGUCAUGUACAUACACUCGCAACAAAUCAGCAGCCUGCAGUACUUCAUCAACCAGCACGUAGUAAAUAGCAAUUACAGAGGCAAAUCCAACUAAACCAGUGCAUCAAUGCCUACAAAAGUUGCAUCCUUUUCAAAAGAGUCUCGUAGAAGCAGAGGUAAGAACAAAGUGGAUAUUCAUGCUCAUUUUACACUCAAACCUUUUUAAGAUCCAGUAAGCAUGACGAUAAGGAAGUCACCAAUAUCAUCAACGCAAACUAUCAUCCAAUUUAUCUUAGUACUACACAAAUAUAAACCUUGUUUAACUACAACAAUGCUUGGCCUAGUUGAAGCUUCUCUAUAAGCGUUGUUCGAGUAAAGCUGUUAGAAGACACACUAUCAACCUUACAUCAAAUUCCUCAAACAGCUUCUUACUACAGAAGAAGUAAAACCUUCAAAACGGAGCUUUUACUCUCAGCUUAAAAGCUAAUCUGGCUGGCUGCCAGCCCUAGCACAAGCUGGGUUUUUUAUCUACCUGAAUUAUAGCAUUUGCUUCUUGAGUAGAGAUGGUAUCGCAAAAGCCAGGUAAAACGGGCACUAAGAUAUAAAAUGCCUCAUUAAGCCAUUAGUAACCAUGAUUAUAGUUAUUUUAUGCACCAAAAACGACACAGCCUACUAGCACUAAUAACUCGUUGGGCAGAAACCACUGAAGGCCCAAAAAAUUUAACCCCAGUUAUUAGAACUAGAACUUCCUAUUUAAACCCUAUCGUCCUCGUCAAGUUCAAUUCCCUAACCAUUCCCUAGUUCAAGAUCACCAGACAAUAUGAGACCUAUCUUACACUUCCGACCGACAAACUACCUCUGCUACCAAAUGUAACAACCCAGCUAUCUAAAACUAAUAACUCGUUGGAUCCAUAUUCAAAACCGGCCAAAAUGCUAAAGACCAGUUACUACUACUAAAAUUCUCUGUCCUCGUAUUCCCAAUUACGAUUCCUUUCCCAUCCGAUGUGGGAAUAUUGGGGCGUCCCAAAUAAUGCUAUUAUUACUCAGACACAUAAUAGCUGACUCUAGCCAAACAAACCCCAAAUUCUGAUCGGUGGACAAGUAGACACAUUCAACCUCUAAAACCACCACUUUUACCAGCCCCAACGAUCCAUCGUAAGUAUCUGACAUGAAUCCCACAUUUCAGAACACCCAGACUUUGUUGUAAUUGUUUUCAAUAAUGCAUUGAUUUCCUAGACAAGAAGCAUCAACUGGUAGUAGUUAGGAAACAAUAGCAACUAGCCAGUAAUCCCUCUGAGUCUAGCUACAUAGCGAAAACACUGGACUUUGAUUUCACACAAACAAACCUCAACCUAAAGAAGUUUGUUUUAAAUUCGAAAUCGAUCCACAGCUUCGCAACAGUGCGUAAUCAUACGAAGAUACAUAUAUAUAUAUAUAGAAAUAUAUAGAGAUGCAUACCUAAUCGAAGAACCACUCCUCUCUAGGCUCCGACGACAUGACAGCGUCGCCCUCGUCGUCCAACCUCCCCGCGGCGCCAGCCCCUCCGGCUCCCCCUCCUGCUGCUGCUGCAGCUGCGGCUGCGGCUGCUCCUUCCAGGGGCCACUGCGACGUGACGGUCUCGGCGCUGUUGGCGGGGCCGGCGGAGGAGCCGGUCUCGGCCUGCGCCAUCUGCGUGGGGGAGGCCGCCUCGACGGGGCGGGGGCGGCGGCGGCGGCGGCGGAUCCGGCGCAGCGCGUCCCUGAGCGCGCGGGCGCCGUCGUCGUCGUCGUCGUCGCCGCCGGCGUCGAGGAGGGUGCGGAAGCGGAUGGAGAUGUGGGUGGUGGGCGGGGGAUCGGCGGGUAGCGGGGAAGGGAGCGGGGAGCGGCAGAGGGGGCAGGAGUUGUGGAGGGAGAGCCAGGGGAGGAUGCAGUCGGAGUGGUAGAGGUGGCCGCAGGGGAGGCGGCGGGCGGGGGAGCUGAGGGGGAAGUCGUCCUUGCAGACGGGGCAGGGGAGGGAGGGUUCGGAGACGGGGACGGUGGGGAGGGCGGCGAUGGAGGAGGGCGGGCCGGGAGGGCCCGCGGCGGGGAGAGGCGGAGCGGACGUCGUCGAGAGGACGAGAGCGAGGUGCGGAUGAGGCGGCGCAGGUAUGCCUCGCGCGGGGGCCGGUCCGGGUCCCGGUCGCCGUCGGCGGUCCGGGUCGGGGUCGGAGGAGUCGGAGGAGGAGUCGAGAGGAGGUGGCGAGGUGGGGAGGGGAGGGGAGGGGAGGCGACGAGGGGCGUCCAUCUCCUCGAGGAAGUCGCCGCGGCAAUGGGGGCAGAGGAGAGGGAGGGGAAGGGAAGGAGAGGGGAGACGCUCAUGUCGCACACGUGGCCACCAGAAGGUGAGCGGGACGCGGAGCAGGUUGAUGGGAGGCGGCGGACGACAUUAGCUCUCGCGGGACCCGCCGGCCCCCUCGCCUGCGCUCUCCUGUUCUGGGUUUCGGGAAAUGGGUGGGUUGGGUACUUGGGUGGGUUGGCGGGUCUGUCUGACGCGCAGCCUCUUUCCCGUGUCGUUUCUUCAUUCCUACUCAUGCGGUGCCGCCGUGACAACGAGGAGAAAUGAUUGCCCGCACGGGCGUAUGACUGCCUCUCGUACACCACUUCUCGUAUCUUAUUCCCAUUUAUCUGUGUGAGUACGGGCCGCAAUCCACCUCGCGAAUUCAGCUCAAAUGAGCUCAAAUUGAAUUACUCUUUAAUAAACGACCGAGCACGAGUUAAAAUUCAGCUCGAGCUGGGGUCAGCUCACUCAUAAUUCGGCUCCGUAACAGCUCGAAUAUAGUAUAUAUAUAUAUAUAUAUAUAUAAGUAUUAUAUAUAUAUAUAUAGAGCUGGGGACUCACUUAUGUUCGGCUCGAAAACAGCUCGUGUAUUAUAUAUAUAUAAUUAUAUAUAUAUAUAAAUAUAUAUAUAUAUAAUUUGAUAUUUAGCGCAACCUAAAUAUAAAGUACAAUUCAAUUACAAAAUGACUCAUUUAUAUAUAAAAUUUUAAUCAUUAGGUCAAAAUAUAACAAGUAAAAUCUUAUAAAUCUAUUUCCUAUUUAUAUUCUUUCUAAUCCUUUUAAAUUCUUAUUCAUAGGCCAGCUCAUAUUCGGCUCGAUACUUUAACGAGCCAGCUCGUGCCAAACACGAGCCGACCCUAGUUCGCUCGUGUUCAGCUUGUUGA
RNAcentral lists this long non-coding RNA (62180 nucleotides) under Ananas comosus (pineapple). RNAcentral describes it as "long non-coding RNA (ACOM_LNC004092)". The record is from RNAcentral. Lineage: Eukaryota; Viridiplantae; Streptophyta; Magnoliopsida; Poales; Bromeliaceae.